This 66183-nucleotide long non-coding RNA is filed under the name Citrus sinensis (sweet orange). RNAcentral's name for it is "long non-coding RNA (CSIN_LNC001153)". The record is from RNAcentral. Lineage: Eukaryota; Viridiplantae; Streptophyta; Magnoliopsida; Sapindales; Rutaceae.
AACAACCAAAUUAGUGACACUUUUCCCUCUUGGUUAGGAACUCUUCCAAAAUUAAAUGUUCUCAUCCUACGAUCCAACAUAUUUUAUGGCGUUAUAGAAGAAACCAGAACUGGUUGUGGAUUUUCUAAACUCCGCAUUAUUGACCUAUCUAACAAUAGAUUUACUAGAAAGCUUCCAUCAAAGAGUUUCCUGUGUUGGAAUGCCAUGAAAAUUGUCAAUACAAGUGAGCUAAGAUAUCUGCAAGAUGUGCUUUUUCCGUACGGGCAAAUGUUUUUUUUUGUUUUUUUUUGAAUUUUUUUUGUUUUCUGUGUCUGAAUUUUUUUUGUUUUUUUUUAAACGAUGAAGAUGCGUUUCUAAAGUCACUACACUCCAUAUUCAGCCAUCUUCAACACAAAAAGUUAACAACAGUUAGUUUCUACAAUAAAAAAUCAAUAAAAACUUAACCAAGAUUCCACAAUUGUCGACUAUUCCCUCCCCCCAACCAGAACGAAACAUUGUCCUCAAUGUUUUAAAGGAAAUAAGUAGAGUUUAGAAGACAUCACCUGGAUGGUGCAAUAUAGAAAAAAAUAUUUACAGGCGGAGAGUUAAAUGUAAUUUGUACUUCUUACUGCGGCUACUGUUACCAUCAUUAUUUGGACGCUCCAAUACAAAGGUCCAGGGGUCUGGCUCCGGUCUAUAAGCUUGUAACAGAUCAAGUAGCUCAUUAGCAGUGUGGGCACAAAUAAAAAGUUUUUUCGCAUUGGAAGGAAUGAAAUAGUUUUUUAUUGCGUAGUUAAGAAAUGCGAUGAAGCCAUCAUAAAAGUUAUAGAUAUUUAACAAACCGAUGGGUUUUUGGUAAAUGUGCAGAUGGGCCCAAAAUGCUAGUGUGAUAAGUGCCUCUAGUGUUGCAAGAUCUCCUCGAAGGAAAAUAAAAGCAUCAGCAUGAUUAAGCAUUUCAGUUAUUCUUUCUUGCAUACCUGAGACGACUAACUCUUCUCCAGUCGGUGGGUCAGACAAACUGCCCAAAGGUUUUAGGGCUCUUGGGAUGAUGCCUAACACUUGACUUCCUCUGACAAAAGCAGCUUUUGAGACCAAUUUUGAUAACCCUCGGUUACCUCCACCAUACACCAAGUGUAAUUUUCUCUCUGCUAUGCUUCGCCCAAGAUCUAUGGCUGCCUCAACAAACUCUUUAUGUUUGCCAUAAUUAAAUCCAGAAAGCACACAAAAUGUUCUUAAAUUGUCUGUUGGGAGUAGCUGCCAUUGGAAUAUUUCUCAAAAAUAAUUUGUGAGUGCUUAACAAAAAGUCAUAUUUAAAAAUCUUGGUGACAGUGGGUCACAACUGUGUAUGAGGUGGCAUGUCAGUGUCAAAUAACACGUAAAGCACAUGGCUCGCGAGUCAAAAAGAAAAUAGGCGAGUCAAAAAGAAACAAUGAUAAAAUAAAAUUAUUAAAGACAAUAAUGGAAAAGAUAAAACAACAGUGAAAUAAAAUAACAGUGAAGUAAAAGGAUAUUUAGUGGCUCACAUCUUCCUCUGGUUUUACGUCCAGAGAAACGGCUUGAGCCCUCUAUGGGCCGAGGAUAGGCUUCCUAUCCAGUUUUCUUAUAAACUGGCAAACAGGGUCGUUUAUGGUCAGAUUCUCGAGACUGUAUCGUGUAUGCUCUUUCUGGAAUAAUGGCCAUAACUGGAGAAUCGCUCCUUGCACAUAUCCACUGGGAUGCGUUUCAAGAGACAAAAGGAUAUCAUCCAAUGACUCCUUAUUCAAGCCAUCCCUAAUGAAUUGAAUCUUAUCUUCUCUGUUAUCAGACAUCAUUCCUAAAGAACAUGGUUUUUUAUCGCAACUCAUUCUAGCACAUUUAUGACAAGCAACAGAAAUUCUUUGAGCUCGUCGUUUUCUUGCAUAAUUUCCUUUACCACAACCAGGCAUGUAUGCAAUAAAUUUUGGAGGUAACUCACCUGCCAAUCGUACUUUAGCCUCGAUUAACCAACGGAUGUCAGCAGGUAUGUUAUCCCUCAUGAGCAAUCGCAUGCGUUCGGACCGAGCUUUAUAGAUUGUAAGGAGGGCAUUUUGAGGAAGUGAAGGGAAUCGAUUGUGAAGCUUUGCUAGAAUCUCGUUUCUGUCCAUACCUUCGCCUCAGAAUAUUAGUUAUUAUGGGAAACUGAAGUAACCGACUUGAUUGUCACGGAGUACCGUUAUCCGCCACUUCAACGGGGUAACAAAUUAAAGCACACAAAUAUAAAAACAAAUUAAAACAUACAAAGAAAAUUAAAAUCUCCUCUUAUUGAAAUUACCUCAAGCUCCAACUGGAUGUUGUAAACACUUCUUUCAAUGUCUCUGAGUUGGCUUUCUAAAUCCUCAACAUAGGAUACUAACUCUGGUGGUUGUCGAGCCCAAAUACGAUGUGUCUUACAAAAUUGAAUCUGCCUUUUGAGAUGAGAUUUUACACGUUGAAGUGGUUUAAGAAUGUUCAGGAGGAACUAUUUAAGUAUGGUACUCAUGAUUAACAAUAAUAAGAGAAAACUUAAUGGUUAAACAAACACACUUAUGCAAAAAUAAUUUCAAUUAGCAAAAGAAUAAUAAAAAGAAAGAAAAAAAUCAAAUCACCGAAAAAAAAGAAAAAAAUCAAUUCAAAUCUUGUGGGUCACUCAAAUUUAUUUCGAUGUCCUCUCCAUGUGUUGGUAAUCUAGAUAUGGCUUUAAUCUUUGACCAUUAACUUUAAACGUGACACCGUUCUUUGGCUCCUUAAUUUCAAUUGCCUCAUAUGGAAAAACAGUAUGAACAAUAAAGGGGCCAUACCAUCGAGAGCAUAACUUACCUGGGAAUAGGUGCAAGCGAGAAUUGAAUAAAAGCACUUUCUAACCUGGAGUGAACGAUUUUCUCAUAAUUUGCUUGUCAUGGAAGACUUUCAUUCGUUACUUCUAAAUCUUGGCAUUUUCGUAUGCAUCAUUGCAAAUUUCUUCAAGUUCUGCCAGCUGUAAUCUUCUUUCUGAACUAGCUUGCUACAUGUCAAAGUUGAAUUUCUUGAUGGCCCAAUAUGCACGAUGCUCGAGUUCCACAGGUAGGUGGCAAGCUUUUCCAUACACUAGCCUGUAGGGUGACAUCCCAAUCGGGAUCUUGAAAGCCGUUCUAUAUGCCCAUAACGAUUUUCUUAUAAUGUGCUUGUCAUGAAAGACUUUCAUUCGUUGCUUGUAAAUUUUGGCAUUUUCGUAUGCAUCAUUGCGAAUUUCUUCAAGUUCUGCCAGUUGUAAUCUUCUUUCUGAGCUGGCUUGCUGCAUGUCAAAGUUGAAUUUCUUGAUGGCCUAGUAUGCACGAUGCUCGAGUUCCACAGGUAGGUGGCAAGCUUUUCCAUACACUAGCCUGUAGGGUGACAUCCCAAUUGGGGUCUUGAAAGCCGUUCUAUAUGCCCAUAAUGCAUCACUAAGUCUUAAUGACCAAUCUUUUCUGUCUGGCCUCACCGUUUUUUCUAAUAUGUGCUUUAUUUCUCGAUUGGAUAUCUCAACUUGGCCACUGGUUUGCGGAUGAUACGGGGUCGGCACUUUGUGUGUGAUUGAAUACUUUGUCAAAAGUGCUUUGAAUGCUUUGUUGCAAAAGUGGGCACCACCAUCACUGAUUAUUGCUCGAUGGAAUCCAAAGCGUGAAACAAUGUUGCUUUUCAAAAAUCCUAUCACCACUUUGUGAUCAUUGGUUCUGCAUGGAAUUGCUUCCACCCAUUUUGAUACGUAGUCAACAGCAACCAAUAUGUAUUGAUGGCCAAAAGAAGGGGGAAAGGGUCCCAUGAAGUCGAUACCCCAUACGUCAAAAAUUUCAACCACUAAAAUUGGAUUUAGUGGCAUCAUGUUCCUUCGCGUAAUGCUCCCCAUUCGUUGACACCUAUCACAUGAAGAACAGAAAGUGUAAGCAUCUCGAAAUAUAGUUGGCCAAUAAAAACUACAUUGUAAAACUUUAGUUGCUGUUUUCUUAGCACUGAAAUGGCCUCCACAAGCUUGUUCAUAGUAGAAUGAAAAAAUAUUCUGAAUUUCAUUUUCUGGGACACAUCGUCUAAUAAUUUGAUCUGCACAAUACUUGAACAAAUACGGGUCAUCCCAAAAGAAAUUCUUUAUUUCUGUAAAGAAUUUAGCCUUGUCUUGCUUGGUCCAAUGCUCUGGAAGUUGACCUGUAAUAAGAUAAUUAACGAUAUCAGUAUACCAUGGUAAUACUUCCACACUCAUCAAUUGUUCAUCUGGGAAUGACUCAUUCAAUGUUAAAGGUUCAGUAAUUGUAUCAAAUUGGAGACGAGAGAGAUGGUCUGCCACAACAUUUUCUGUGCCUUUCUUAUCUUUAAACUCCAAGUCGAAUUCCUACAAAAGUAACACCCAACGAAUUAGUCUAGCUUUUGCAUCUUUCUUUGUGAGAAGAUAUUUAAGAGCAGCAUGAUCUGUGAACACAAUUAUUUUACGACCAAUGAGAUAAGAUCGAAAUUUUUCCAAUGCAAACACUACUGCUAGCAUUUCUUUUUCAGUAGUUGAAUAUUUCAACUGUGCAUCAUUCAAUGUCAUACUAGCAUAGUAAAUAACAUGGGGAAUUCGAUCAACUCUUUGUCCUAACACUACUCCUACUGCAUAAUCAGAUGCGUGACACAUGACCUCAAAUGGCAAGCUCUAGUUUGGGGGCUGAAUGAUGGGUGAUGAUGUCAACAACCGCUUUAAUUUUUUCAAAUGACACAAGACAUGAAUCAUUAAAGACAAAAGGUACGUCCUUAGCAAGUAGAUUGCAUAAGGGUCUAAAAACUUUGCUAAAAUCUUUAAUGAAACGUCUAUAAAAACCAGCAUGCCCAAAGAAAUAUUUUACUUCUCUAACUGUUUUGGGUGGAGGAAGAUUAUAAAUGAGAUCCACCUUGGCUUUGUCAACCUCAACACCUUUGCUCGAAAUGAUGUGACCGAGAACAAUACCUUGUUUUACCAUAAAAUGGCACUUCUCCCACUUUAAGAUCAAGUUCUUUUUGAUACAUCUCUGCAGAACUAGUGUUAGAUGAUGUAAACAUUGAUCAAACGAGUCACCAAAAACAGAAAAGUCAUCCAUAAAGACUUCAAGGAAUCGUUCAACCAUAUCAGAAAAAUACUUAACAUGCAUCGUUGAAAUGUAGCAGGUACAUUACAUAAUCCAAAUGGCAUCCUCCUAUAUGCAAAAGUGUCAAAAGGGCAAGUGAAAGUGGUUUUCUCUUGAUCUUUUGGUGUUAUAGGAAUCUGAUUAUAUCCUGAGUAGUCAUCUAGAAAAUAAUAAAAUUCAUGGCCUGCCAAUCUAUCAAGCAUUUAAUCGAUAAAUAAUAAAGGAAAAUGGUCUUUACGCGUAACAGAAUUCAACUUUCUAUAAUCAAUGCAUACACGCCAUCCUGUAGUCACUCUAGUUGGUAUCAAUUCAUUAUCGGCAUUGGUAACUACUGUGACUCAUGACUUUUUGGGGACAACUUAUACAGGACUGACCCAUGUACGUCAAUAUCAAAAUCCAAACCAAAGUGAGUUAAACAUGUUUGUAAAGGAUCAUCACUAAGGUUUGAAACAAAAGUAUUAUCAAUUAAUGCUUCUAUUAAAUCCACAUCAACAAUUCCAUCAUCUGCAUUGUGAGGUUUGGCAAUGUUGAAGAUGUUCAGCUCCAUAGUCAUGUUGCCGAAGGACAACUGCAUAUUUCCAGUCUUGCAUUAAAAAUGAGCAUCCGAAGUUGCCAAGAAAGGUCGGCCUAGGAUAAUGGGAAUGUGCUUCCUUGAAUCCUGUAUUGGUUGAGUGUCAAUUACAAUGAAAUCAACAGGAAAAUAAAACUUGUCUACCUGGAUAAGCACGUCCUCCACAAUACCACGAGGUAUUUUCGUGGACCGAUUUGCAAGCUGUAACACCACUGGAGUUGGGUGUAAUUCUCCCAGUCCAAGUUUCACGAAUACUAAAUAAGGCAACAGAUUUACACUAGCUCCUAAAUCCAACAAAGCAUUCUCAAUUGUGUGGUUCCCUAUACUACAUGAGAUAGUGGGGGAGCCUGGGUCUUUGCAUUUUAGAAGAAUUUUGUGUUGGAGUAUAGAACUAACGUUUUCUAUUAAAAAUGUCUUCUUUUGAACGUGAAUGUUUCUCUUUUUAGUACAAAGGUCUUUAAAAAACUUGGCAUAAGAUGAAACUUGUUUUAUAGCAUCAAGUAAAGGGAUAUUAACACUUACCUGUUUGAAGAUUUCAAGAAUCUCACCUGUGGAUUUUCCCUUCUUUCUUUUAGCUAACCUCUGAGGAAAUGGAGCUUUGGGAACAUAUUCUCGUGGGUUGGUUUCUUCUUUCUCCUCCGAUGGUGAGUCCUCAAUAUUCACAGGUACAAUUUGAUUUUCUUUUGUCACCGGCAUCUCCACUUUAUUGUCGACUUAUUUUCCUUUUCGCAAGGUCAUGACUGCUUUGACCUCUCCAUGCUGUUGUGGUGAACUGGUACUUGCUUCAUGUACUCCUUUAGGAUUAGGCAUUGGUUGACUUGGAAAUUUACCUUUCUUAACAGUCAUUGCCAAGGUCUGAACUGAAGAAGCAAACUGUCCCACUAUCUUCUCAAGGCUUGAAACUGAUUGGGCUUGUGAGUUGAAGCCUACUCUCAACUCAUUUCGUAGUCCAUCAAUGGUGCGGUUCUGUUGCUCAAUCGUAGAGUGAGUAACAUUCUUGAGAUUCUAGAAUGCAUCAUCCCAUGGUCUAGGUUGAGAGUAGUUCUGGUUCUAAUUGUAUGGUCUAAAUAGUAGCUGAGAGGCUUGAGGAACUUGAGUAAUUUGUUGCAUUGGUGGAGCUGGAGCUGGAGCUGCUGGUCCAUUUUGUUGGAAUCCUUGAGACAAUGAAAAAUUGGGGUGGUCUCUCCAUCCAGGGUUAUAUGUGUUGGAGUAUGGGUUGUAAUUUGAUGGUUUUCUCAUUACACCUAUGGCAUUGGCUUGAUCUGAGUAUGAGCCAUGGUCAUGUGGCCCUGUUGAUUUAGCAGUCGAUAACGAUGCUAUUUAUCGAGCGAGACCUUCAACCAUCUCCUUGACUUCUUUAAUUUCUGAACUUGACUCGCCAAUGUGAACCUCAUUUACUCCCUUAAUUCUUCUAGUAUUCCUGAGUGAUCAACUCCGUUGUUGGGAAUUAUCCGUUUGUCGCUAGAAGAAUUCCCAAAUUUCUGAUGCACUUUUUGACAUAGCUCUCCUCCACUUGUUGCCAUUAGUCAUUCUUGCACAUUCGGCAAUAAUCCCUCCAAAAAGUAUUGGCAUUGGUGCCAUUUCUCGUACCCAUAAUGUGGACACUUCAAGAGUAGCCCAUUGAAUCGCUCCCACGUUUCGAAAAACUGCUCAUCUUCUCUCUGGGUAAACUCUGAGAUUUCCCUGCGAAUAGCAUUGGUUUUAUGCACUGGGAAAUAUUUAUUCAAAAAUUUAGUUACCAUUUGUUCCCAUGAUGUAAUGCUAUUGGCAGGUAAUGUAUUAAGCCAUGAACGAGCUCUAUCCUUUAAAGAAAAUGGGAAUAAUCUAAGUUUAACAUCAUCGUCUGAAAAAUUCUCAUAUUUAAAAGUUUGACAAAUAGCAUGAAAAUCAUUCAGAUGAUUAUAUGGGUCCUCAUUUUCUAAGUCAUAGAAUGUUGGAAGACAAUUUAGCACACUAGGUUUUAGUUCAAAAUUGACUCGCCAAUGUGAACCUCAUUCACUCCCUUAAUUCUUCUAGUAUUCCUGAGUGAUCGACUCCGUUGUUGGGAAUUAUCCACUUGUCGCUAGAAGAAUUCCCAAAUUCUGAUGCACUUUUUGACAUUAGCUCUCCUCCACUUGUUGCCAUUAGCCAUUCUUGCACAUUCGACAAUAAUCCCUCCAAAAAGUAUUUGCAUUGGUGCCAUUUCUUGUACCCAUGAUGUGGACACUUCAAAAGUAGCCCAUUGAAUUGCUCCCAUGUGUUCGAAAAACUACUCGUCUUCUCUCUGGGUAAACUCCGAGAUUUUCCUGCGAAUAACAUUGGAUUUAUGCACUGGGAAAUAUUUGUUCAAAAAUUUUGUUACCAUUUGUUCCCAUGAUGUAAUGCUAUUAGCAGACAAAGUAUUUAACCAUGAACGAGCUCUAUCCUUUAAAGAAAAUGGGAAUAGUCUAAGUUUAACAUCAUCAUCUAAAAAAUUCUCAUCUUUAAAUGUUUGACAAACAGUAUGAAAAUCAUUCAAAUGAUUAUAUGGGUCCUCAUUUUUUAGGCCAUAAAAUGUGGGGAGACAAUUUAGCACACUAGGUUUUAGUUCAAAACUCUUAGCAGCUACAUUUGGGUAUCUUAUGCAUGAUGUGCUCAAAUUAGCUAAGGGACUAAAGUAGUCCUUAAAUGGCCUCUCCUGUGGUGCUUGUUGUUGUUGCAAAUCCAUUUUAUUUUUAACAUGUUUGUGUGUGCGCAGUGUUUUUUCUAGUUCAAGGUCUAUAGGUUCCAGAUUAGGUAAUAAUGACCUACAACCAUGCAUGCAAAGAACAAAAAAUAAAUGGGAACAAAACGAAUAAAAAUAAAGAAAAAGGAGAAAUUACGAUACUAACCUUAUCGCGCUAUUACAAAUACACAAAAAAAAUGAAAUAAAUUAACCAAAAAAAAUUAGUAAGAUAAACAAAAAUUACAAAGAAAAAAAUAACUUGAAAAUUAAAUUACAGAAUUUUAAAGAAGAGAAAAAGAAAAGAAAUACUAACCUCUAAAUGGAGUUCAUUUUUUUUCUUUUUCUUUUUUAAAGAAAAAAAUACAAGAAAACAAUUAAGAGAAAUUAUUCAUAAAAAUUAAUUCUAUGAAUUAAAAUUACUUACCUCCCCGGCAACGGCGCCAAAAACUUGUUGUGCAAAUUUUAUUGAACUCCCAAGUGCACGAAUCUAUUGUAGAAUAGAAUAAUGAUGACGAGUGUCGAUCCCACGAGGAAGUGAAUUUUAAUUGUGUGUAGAAUUAAUUUUGUACUGCUGUACGGCCAAGGCGGAUGUACGGUACAGCAGGAUCAUAUUUCAAAUACUAGAAGAACUGCUGUACCGUACAUCCGCCUUGGCCGUAAAUUAAAAUGGCGAGAAUAAAUUGAAGAUAAAUCUAUUGAAUUGAUGUACUUGGGUAUCUGGAUCUGUAUUAACAUGCACCAUGGGCUAAAUAUUCAUUAUUAAUACCAAUUAAAUCCACACCUCAUGAACCACACUUUAAUCAAUAUGGUGCUAAGGGCUUAUCGUGCCAAAUAAUAAUAACCUUGUAUUAGGGAGCCGGUGAAACCAAGACGGUACUAAACAAGAUUAUUAUUAUUUGUUGACGAGAAGUCAAAACAUCCACAAAAACUAGAGAGGAAGAGAAAAUAAAUUUAUCAAAUAAAGGUCAUGACACAUGUUGAGACUUCACCUUCAACCCAAGCUUGAAAGAAAAUUAGCUACUCAUAAUUGAACUAAGGGCAAAAUAGAAAUUUAUUAAAAUACAUAGAAAAUACAAGAUGGAGAAGGAAUUACAGAAAAUGUAGUCCAAAAAUAGAUUCAGAGCUAUCAAAUUAGGGGGGGAAGGCCCCCUUUUUAUAGAUACACUGAGUAAAUCAUGGCUAUCAGAUUAAAAAUAGUUUGGACGCUCAGGAUUGCGCCACGUCAUCAAUCAACAGUACACGGUUUGAACAGUAACACGGUUUGACCCGGCUUGAACAGUAAUGCGAUUUGGUUGAAAAUAAUCCUGUGUAAUGCAUGUACCGUACGCGUGAUUUUUGGUCCACUAAUAUGCUGCCACGUCACCAAUCAACAGUGCAUAAGAAUUUUAGCCCAACAGGAUCGUGACACCUCUUCAGUCAAUGCCACAUCAUCGGUCAAUGCCACGUCAUCGAUCCGUCUAUGUGAACAGUGUCGUGAACAGUAUCGUGAACAGUAUCGUACAUGUGAAUAGUACCGUACAUGUGAAUAGUGCCAUUUUUCCUUUUGUGCUCCUCCUAAGGUUUUCGACUGUUCUGAGUUCAAAAGUGAUGUCCGUUUUGCCAUCUGAUCUCUUGUUCAUUAUGAAAUGACUAUAAUGCCCCUAAAAUACAUAAAAUACUUAAUUAAAAUAAAACACACAUAAUUAAAUCACAAGAAGGUUAAAUACAUAAAAGUAAGGGUGUUAGUAAAACUUGAAGUGUAAAAUGACGAUUUUCUCCUUUAUAAAUAUACAUUUUCUAGCACUCAACACCGGUACAACAUGAUAGGACCAACCAUGUUGAAAUUGACAAUCACUUCAUCAACGAGAUAUCCUAACCAAGGGACUCGUCAAACCUAAUUUCGGAUAUCCUGUCAGCAAGUUAGGAAUGAUUGACAUCUACGCACCAACUUGAGAGGGAGUAUCGAGAAAUUAGGAUUUUUCAGUUAGUUUUAAAGUCUUAUCAUAAUAAAGUAUUAGACAAUUAGUUUUAUUUUUAAAUUCAAGUUUAGAUAAGUAUCCUAUAAUUAGGGGAUAUUUUUUAUGAGUUUGUUUUUAGCAUUCUAUUUAAGUGUAACUUGUAGAAUGAAUGAAACAAGAAAAAAUCAUAUUUCAGACUCUAAAUAUUCACGCGAAUGAUAAUUUUCCUUUUUAAUUUAAAACCACCCUAAGGUGGGCGGGUUAGGCGGGACCCUUUACCUAUAGACUAUUGAAACAAAAGAAAGUACAUAUGGAGGAGGACACAAACUAAAACCUCCAAACAAAAUAACAACACAACCAACAAAUCCAAAAAAAUAGCAAAAACAUUAUGAGAACAAAUAAAAAGUUAAAGAUAAUUAAUUAAUGCAAAUGCCUCAAGACUGCCCGCGAUACCUGUGACCAGUAACUAAUGUGAAAUCGUUUCUCGAACCAGAGGAAUGUGGACCAACAACAUUAAAGUUGUGGUCAAGAUCACACCCUCCAAAAUGCUCAGGCUGAGACUUAAAAUAAUCAUCAGCCAGAAGAUUCUCAUCAGAACUAAGCUCCUCAUCCGACUAAAAAUGAAUAUCUGUAGAAUGGGAAUUAAAACCCAUAGUCAUGGAUCGAAUAUCCUCCACUACAGCUCAGAAAAAAGUAGUACCAGUGGAAACCUUCUGAAUAGCUAGAUCAUCCUGAAUAGAAGAAGAAGUCUUAGCUAUCUCAGCCCAUCCAACAUUAUCUCUCAAAGCAGUAGCUGUAAGAGAUUAGGCUGAGGAGAUGGUCAAUGGCAGAAGGUGGUCCUCAUCGAUGGUAAUAGGUGUGGCGGCGGCGAUGGGUGAUAUUUGAGAUUGCGAACACGUUUUUGGCCUUCAGUUUGGGUGUGAGUCCGAUUGUGAUGGUUGUUGCCGGCCAAAGGAGAAGUCACCGGUGUGUGGGGUGGUUCCGGUAGUGGCAAAUCACCACCACCAGUGGCGGCUGGUCAAUGUUCGGUCAAAUAGUAGGCAGUUAACAGAACUUUUCAAACAUUGCAUUGGUUGAUAUUAAUUUAUUUAUAUAUAAUUAAUUUAACAAUAACUUUUUGAUAGUACAACUUAUAAUUAUAAACAUUAAAAGAAUAUAUUUUAAUGCAGUCAAUUGCAAGUAAAUCAUUAUAUUUGUUUAUUGAUUAUAUCCUACAAAUUGGUUUGAGUUAAUUAAAAUUAUAAAUAGGUGCUCGGCCAAGAUUCCUUGAUAAUAAUCAGGGAAUAAUGCAUGUCUGAUCAAUGGAUGAACACAGAUUUGACAAUAGUACCAUAAUAGAUAAGUGAAUUAACUCUAAAAUAAUAAUAAUAAUAAUAAAAGAGAAGCAAGUACGCAUGAAACAAAUUAAGCAAUUAAUCUCUCAUGCGUUAUAUAUAUUGGUCAUCACCAUGCGGUGGUUGCAAGAUAUCAUCACCACGCGGCGGUUGCAUGAUACCUUGGAUUAAUAGUUUGAUCAUGAGGGAAGAAGAUCCUAUUUCUUUUGUUGGCCUUUUCUUCUGUCAUAUCUUUGCCCUCCUUCAUCCAUAAGUAUGUUAAUAGCCUUUACAACAUCUUCCUUCUUUACCAAUACCCCAAUCUCUUCUUCCUUCCCAAAAUCUAAAGGAACUUCCACACCAAUCCUCACCUCAAUAUUUAGAACUUGCACAAUCAACUUUUCGUUCCAAAAUUAGUCCCCAAAAAGUGGCCAUGUGAUCAUGGGUACGCCGGCUGAUAUUACUUCAAGAGAUGAGUUCCAACCAUAAUGUGUUAAAAACCCUCCAAUUGAAGUGUGUGACAAUAUCAGGGCAACAGAACAAUCAGCGGAUGGAAUUGUGGUUAAUACUUUUGAAGAAUUGGAAGCAGAAUAUGUCAAAGAAUAUAGAAGGGCCAAAGGUGAUAAAGUUUGGUGUAUUGGCCCGAUUUCGACUUGCAAUAAGUUGAACACAGAUAAAGUUGAGAGAUGCAGAGGUGAAAAUGGAUCGACGGUAAAUGAUUAUGAACAGUACUUGAAAUGGCUUGACUCAUGGGAACCUGGGUCUGUGAUUUGUUCUUGUCUUGGAAGUAUAUGUGACCUUGCUACUUGGCAACUUUUAGAACUUGGGUUAGGCUUAGAAGCAUCAAGUCAGCCAUUCAUUUGGGUAAUAAGAGGAGGUGAAAGAUCACAAGGUUUAAAGAAGUGGAUCCAAGAAGAAGGAUUUGAGGAAAGGACAAAAGGGAGAUGAUUUAUAAUUCGGGGAUGGGCACCUCAAGUGUUGCUAUUGUCUCAUCGAGCAAUUGGAGGGUUCUUGACAAAUUGCGGUUGAAAUUCAACACUAGAAGGAGUGAGUGCGGGAGUGCCGUUAGUAACAUGCCCUUUGUUUGCCGAGCAAUUUUAUAAUGAGAAGUUAGCUGUGCAAGUAUUAGGGAUUGGAGUGAGUGUUGGAAUUGAGGCUGCAGUGACAUGGGGUUUGGAAGACAAGUCUGGUUUAGUGAUUAAGAGGGAGAAAGUGAAAGAAGCUAUUGAAAAACUUAUGGAUAGAGGCAAACAAGGAGAGAAGAGGAGAAAUAGAGCAAGGCAGCUUGGGGAAAUAACAAAUCGUGCUAUUGGAGUAGGUGGAUCUUCUCAUCGCAACAUAGAAAUGCUCAUUGAAUUUGUCAUCCAAAAAACCAGAGGGCAGUAAUACAUUUGAUUAAUUAAUGAACAAUCAGUUUCAUUGAUACUACUGUUGAGUUGAUUUUAUUACUACUUAGUAAAAAAAAAAUCCUUAUUGUUAAGGGUGACGUUAUUUGUUGAUUUUAGUCUUCCAUGUCUUUAGGAGUCGUUAAACAUAGGUUCUUGUUUUGUUGCUUGGUUCGUUAUGUAAGGCUAUUUAAUAGCCAAAGUUAUUCUCAUUUUAUAACAGUGAAAAUUUUUUCAGCAUUUAGAAUUCUUCCAUACUCUGUAGCUUUUAACAUUUGGUAUCAGAGCCCCAGUGGGCCUGAGAAUAGAAAGCUGCAGCUUUCGAGUGACUUGUAUUCAAGAAAAACCAGAGAAGAAAGAGAUGGCAAGUGAAGGGAGUUUUGUUCAGCCUACGAUCUGCUGUUCCGUACAUCCGCCUUGGCCGUACAGCAGGCAUCAUCAAGUCUUAAUGACCAAUCUUUUCUGUCCGGCCUCACCGUUUUUUCUAAUAUGUGCUUUAUUUCUCGAUUGGAGAUGUCAACUUGGCCACUGGUUUGCGGAUGAUAUGGGGUUGCCACUUUGUGAGUGAUUGAAUACUUCAUCAAAAGAGCCUUGAAUGCUUUAUUACAAAAGUGGGCACCACCAUCACUGAUUAUUGCUCGAGGGAAUCCAAAGCGCGAAACAAUGUUGUUUUUCAAAAAUCCUAUCACCACCUUGUGAUCAUUGGUUCUACAUGGAAUUGCUUCUACCCAUUUCGAUACAUAGUCAACAGCAACCAAUAUAUAUUGAUGGCCAAAAGAAGGGGGAAAGGGUCCGAGAGAUUUCGAGACCCUUGAAAUGAAACCAGGUGAAAUUGUUAUUGAUUAUUUCUCAAGAGUCAUGUCAGUAGCUAAUAAGAUGAGAAAUUAUGGAGAGGAUAUGCAAGAUGUUAAAGUGGUAGAGAAGAUUCUUCGAUCAUUGACUGAGAAGUUCAAUUAUAUUGUUUGUUCAAUUGAGGAGUCAAAGAACAUUGAUCAGCUUUCAAUUGAUGAGCUAGAAAGUUCAUUAAUUGUUCAUGAGCAAAAAUUUCAUAGGAAUAGUGGAGAGGAACAUGUGCUGAAGAUAACACAUGAGAAUAGUUCAGAAGCAAGAGGUCGUGGUAGAGGAGGUUUUCGAGGAAGAGGAAGAGGACGGGGCAGACAACAAUUUGACAAAUCUACAGUGGAGUGUUAUAAUUGUCACAAACUUGGACAUUUUCAAUGGGAGUGUCCAAGUAAUGAGACAGGAGCAAAUUUUGCAGAAACUCAAGAAGAGAUGUUAUUGAUGGCAUGUGUGGAUGUGAACAAGGACAACAAGGAAGAUAUGUGGUAUCUUGACUCCGGUUGCAGCAAUCAUAUGUGUGGAAAAAAAAGAAUAUUUUUAAGAUCUGAAUGAAAUUUCAGAGAUUCUUUGAAGUUGGGCAACAACUCAAGCAUGGCUGUAAUGGGAAAGUGUAACAUCAGGUUGCAAGUGAAUGGAACAACACAAAAUAUUACCAGAGUUUUCUAUAUACCUGAAUUGAAGAGCAACAUGUUGAGCAUUGGGCAAUUACAGGAAAAGGGGUUUACUGUUCUGUUCCAAUAUGGAAGGUGCAAGGUGUUUCAUCAUGAGAGAGGUUUGAUCGUGGAUACGAAGAUGUCUGCAAAUCGAAUAUCCAUAUUGCAAGCUAUAUCUCAACCUAUAACAUCUAUUUGUUUCAAUACAAUUACUGAGGAUCUGGUGCAGCUCUGGCACUGCAGAUAUCGACAUUUGAGUUUUACGGGUUUAAAAACUCUUCAACAAAAGGCAAUGGUGAAUGGUUUACCACAACUUAAAACUCCUUCAAGGCUAUGCAAGGAUUGUUUGGUGGAGAAGCAGCACAGGGAUUCAUUUCCAAAAAGAAGCAACUGGAGAGCUUCUCAAAUCCUUCAGUUGUUACACGCUGAUAUUUGCGGACCGAUCAAACCAACCUCCAACAGCAAGAAACGGUAUUUACUUACCUUUAAUGUUGAUUUCAGUAGAAAAACAUGGGUUUUCUUUUUGACAGAAAAAUCUGAAGCCUUUGAUGUUUUCAAAAGAUUUAAGAUCCGAGUGGAAAAAGAGACAAACACGCCACUUCAAGCGCUGCAAACUAAUCGAGGAGGAGAGUUUACAUCACAAGAAUUCAAUAAUUUUUGUGAUGCAAAUGGUAUACAGAGAAAAUUGACAGUAGCAUACACACCACAACAAAACGGAGUCGCAGAACGAAAGAACAGAACCAUUAUGAAUAUGGUACGAAGCAUGAUUUCAGAAAAGAGAGUCCCCAAAACCUUCUGGCCUGAAGUAGUCAACUGGACGGUGCAUGUUCUAAAUCGAAGUCCAACCUUUGCCGUGAGAAAUAUGACUCUGGAAGAAGCAUGGAGUGGAAUCAAACCUUCGGUAGAGUAUUUCAAAGUCUUUGGCUGCAUCUCUCAUGUUCAUGUGCCUGAUAGCAAACGAACAAAACUAGAUGAUAAAAGUUAGAUUUGUGUUCUAUUGGGAGUAAGCGAGGAGUCGAAGGCUUACCGGCUUUAUGAUCCUAUUUCACAAAGGAUUAUUAUAAGUCGAGAUGUUGUGUUCGAGGAAGACAAAAGCUGAGAUUGGGAUAAGAAGUAUGAGGAAGCAAUUGCAUGUGAUUUGGAAUGGGGUGAUCGUGAGGAAAAAAUGGUGGAGAUCGAUAGAAAUGUAGGGAAGAGUGAAUCUGAUUCUGAUGCUAGUGUUGAAGAAAGGGAGAAUUUUUCCUCUGAUUCUCCAAUCGAGGAGAGCUCACCUAGCUCGAAUGCAGGGAGGAUUAGGAGACCACCAGCUUGGAUACAAGACUAUGAGACAGAAGAGGGACUAUCUGAAGAAGAAGUUCAGUUGGCCAUGUUUGCAGCUGCUGAUCCUAUUCGCUUCGACGAUGCCGUAAAAAGCGAGAAAUGGAGGAAAGCCAUGGAUGUGGAAAUAGAAGUAAUAAAAUGGAAUGAUACAUGGGAACUAACAGAAUUACCUGAAGGUGAAAAGAAAAUUGGAGUGAAAUGGGUUUACAAAACCAAGUUUAAUGAGAAUGGUGAAGUUGAUAAAUACAAGGCAAGGCUUGUAGUGAAGGGGUACUCUCAGCAACAUGGGGUAGAUUAUAUAGAAGUAUUCGCACCUGUAGCACGUAUGGAAACAAUUCGUUUGGUAGUAGCUCUUGCAGCUCAAAAAGGAUGGGCUAUCUAUCAGCUAAAUGUUAAGUCGGCAUCUCUAUAUGGUGAGCUGAAUGAAGAGGUUUUUGUGGAACAGCCGCUUGGUUAUGUGAAAAAGGGUUAUGAACACAAGGUUUAUAAAUUAAAAAGGCACUCUAUGGCCUUAAGCAAGCACCGCGUGCUUGAUACAGCCGCAUAGAAGCUUAUUUUUUGAAAGAGGGUUUUGAGAAAUGUGACUAUGAACAUACUCUAUUCAUCAAGACAGGGAAAAAGGGAAACUUUUGAUUCUGAGUUUGUAUGUAGAUGAUCUCAUCUUUACUGGCAAUGAUGAAUUGAUGGUCUCUGAAUUUAAAAGUUCCAUGAAACAUGAGUUCGAUAUGACUGAUCUUGGCAAAAUGAGGUAUUUUCUUGGUCUUGAAAUCUUGCAGAAUUCAAGAGGUGUGUUUAUCUGUCAGAAAAAAUAUGCAUUAAAGGUGCUGCAAAGGUUUGGGAUGGAUGGAAGCAACUCAGUUCAAAAUCCAAUUGUCCUAGGUUGUAAACUCGUCAAGGAUGAAAGUGGUGUUAAGGUAGACAACAUUUAUUUCAAUCAAAUUGUGGGUAGUCUCAUGUAUCUUACAGCUACUCGACCGGAUGUGAUGUUUGUAGUGGGUCUUAUCAGUAGGUACAUGGAGAAUCCUACUGAGCUUCAUCUCCAAGUAGCUAAAAGGGUGUUGAGAUAUUUGAAGGAGACACUUGAUUUCGGAAUUUUCUAUAAGAAUGGAGGAAAUAAUGAACUCAUUUCUUACACUGAUAAUGAUUAUGCUGGGGAUUUAGAAGAUAGAAAAAGCACUCCAGGUUACGUUUUUUUGUUGAGCUCAGGAGCAGUAUCUUGGCUAUAAAAAAAGCAACCAGUAGUGAGUCUCUCCACUACUGAAGCUGAAUUCAUUGUUGCGGCUUCUUGUGCAUGUCAAACAGUUUGGUUGAAAAGGGUGUUGGAUAAUUUGGGUCUGAAGCAAGGUAAGACAACUAUUAUUCAGUGUGAUAGUAGUUCUGCAAUCAAACUUUCGAAGAACCCAGUAAUGCAUGGUCGAAGUAAGCACAUAAAUGUGCGUUUUCAUUUUCUUCUAGAGCUUACAAAGGCUGGUACUGUAGAAUGAGUCUAUUGUAGCACACAAGAACAAUUAGUCGAUGUAAUGACUAAGCCACUCAAGUUGGAUGUCUUCUUAAAGCUGCGUGCAUUAUUAGGAGUCUGCUCUAAAACUGAUGUAAACUGAUGCAUUAGCAUUCAGUUUAAGGGAGGAAAUGUUGAGUUGAUUUUGUUACUACUUAGUCAAAAUAAAAUCCCUAUUGUUAAGGGUGACGUUAUUUGUUGAUUUUGUUACUAUUUAGUCUUCCAUGUUUUUAGAAGUCGUUAAACAUGGGUUCUUGUUUUGUUACUUGGUUCGUUAUGUAAGACUAUUUAAUAGCCAAAGUUAUUCUCAUUUUAUAACAGUGAAAAUUCUUUUCAGCAUUUAGAAUUCUUCCAUACUCUGUAGCUUUUAACAACUACAAGGCGGUUUGAUCGAUCUACUUAAUUUGUCAGCUUAUGAGUGAUGUCCUGUUAAUUUGACGAUAAUUAAAAAAUCUGUGGGUAUUUGUUUAUAUAUUUAGUUCUUCCAUCAAUAAAUGGAAUAUAUUCCAAGAAGAGAUGGCCAUAUUGGGCAAAAUUUAUUUACUUAUUUAUUUUAUUCAGCAAACUUUGAAGAGAUGACAAGAUAAUAUUGCUUUAGAAGUUAACGGUGAUUAUUGGCUAAUGUUUCAAGCCCACCGGCUGGCCCGCUAGUGUUUUUCGAGACAGACUAUUUGUUGAAUUAAUCUGUUAAAAUGGAAUAUAUUAUAAGAAGACUUGAACUUCUAAGAUUUCAUAUAUUAAAGUGAGACUAUCAAAUGAUCAAAUCACACUUAUUUUUCAAUAAUCUUUGGUUAAAUCUAUUAUAAUAUUAUAAAUAAAUUACUUGGAAUAUUAAAAUAAUUUUUUUAUAUUUCAUUAUUUACAGUUCUAUAAUCUAAACUAAAUUCAAAUAAUUGCACCAAAAAUUUAGGUUGUAUUUGGUAUUGUUUUUCAAUUGGUGUUUUCUAAACUUGUUUUGCAGAAGAAAGAGGAUGUUUUUGAUGGGUUGUUUCGAUAUUUGAAGAUAUAUUUGGUAGCUUAUUUCUAAAUUAUAAUUUAUGAAAAAAAUGAAAAUACAUUUAGUAUUUUGGUCCAAAACAUUUCUUUUUGAAUAAUGUGUAGGUAAUUUUUUUAAAUAUGUAUAUUUAUUUAUUUAAAAUUUUAGAAAUUAUCAUGUUUUAAAUUGAUAAUGAUAAAUGUAAUUAUUUUUCUAAUUGUCUAAUCUUUAAUGAACUAAAAAUGUUCAUUUAUUUUAUCAUAAUUUAUACAAUUUAAAUUUUAUUUGACUAUUUUAAAUUUUAUUUUUAAAAAAUGAGAUAAAAAAUAAUUUAAGAAUAUCUAUAAAAUUGCAAAAUGUUGGAGCAAAAAUAAAUCUUAUCUGACAAGAAACCGUAAAUUUAUGAAUAAAUAGUAAAAUAUUGUGUUGAUAUUAUUAAAAAAAAAGGAAGAAAUAGAGGGUUACAAGCUUAAUAAAUAUUGGCAAUGGUUCCAAGCUACAAAAGUGAGGCAAGUAGUGUGUGUGUUUGUAUAGUAGAGAAUGCCAAUUUCUGUUCUGCACUCUCUUUUGUGAAGUUGAGAAACAAGAACAACUUUUUUUCAGUUGAUACAUUUACUAUUAAAAAAUAGACCUAAAAAAAAAUUUUUAUAGUUUUCAUUCUAGGAAAAUGAAAAACUACAAAACAAAAACUAUACUAAAUGCACCUUAUAUUUUCCUAAUAACUCUUUUUGAUUUUUCAAAUUUAAUAUUUUAAGGCAUAAAAGACACUAGUUAUUUUAGCUCAUUUUUUGUCAAGCCUCAGAUGAACUAAAAUAUUUAAGGAAGUAGCUUUCAGGCUAUCUUGAGGGUGAACUUUGAUAACUGGUGGGAAAGUUCAGCUUUGAAGAAUAGAGCCACCAAAGAGGGUGCUUGAUUUAUGAGGGACCUUGCAAACGAUGAACCUUGAGUUCAAGGAUGGCAAAAUUAUUCAUCAACCCACAAAGCAGUCCAAAUUUGUCUAUAAAACCUUACCUACUGUGAAUAAUUUUGUGGGUUGUGAGUGGGUAAACUGAAAUCCGCUGCAGGAUGCGAGUGGAUUUGAUAUUAAGAAAAAAUCUACUGGAUGCUCACGCCUACAUUCUUUAUUUUAAUUAUUUAUAUUUUUAAUUUUAAUCAUAAAACUUACAUUAAAAAAUUCAAUCAUAAAUGUAUGUGAAUUAAAGUUCUUAAUUUCUAAACCUAACUUAUCUCAGCGGAGCAUAUACACACACAUAAAAUAAGCUUUUAAUAACUAGAAGUUUUAUAAUUUUUAAAUUUAAUAUUACUGAUAUCUUAUUUUAAUUGAUAGAUUUUGUUUGUUUUACUUUAGUCACUUGAACCUAAUGAUUUCUUACUAGAGUUGGAUUUUUAUUUGUUUAAUUAAUUGUUAACAAUAAUUUUACAUAAUUUACUUGUUAAUAUUGUCGAUAACACUUGUAUUUUGAUUAAAAGAUAAAGUAAGGUAUUGAUACUAAUGAUGAUAAUUUACUAAUAGCAGAAAUAUUUUGUGUCAAAUUAAUAUAUUUUGUGUAUCUCUAUUUAUGUUGAAAAUUUAAUUUCUAUUUUACAAGGCUAUUAGUGGGCUUGCUGGUCGUGGUCAGUGAUGGUAUUUCGAUAAUCAAGUCAAUAUGGUGAAGAAAGAACCCCAUAUCAAGGAAAAAGAUGAAUGUGAGUUGGAUCCGACCUUUUGCAUCAAGGCAUCUUUAAUCUUUUGGAUACGUGGCGCAACCUAUUUGGUCACUUUCUUCCUUAGAUAGGGGUACUUAAAUUGUAAUCAAAUUAUCUCAAGCUUCUAUUUGUCCAACCAUAUUUUUGUCUCCAACAUGAAUAAUCCUUCUAAACUUCUUUAUAAAAUUAUAAAAAUAAAUAUCCUUCUGACCUUGAAAAUUAACAAUCUAAAUUUCAAAAAAUUGUAUUUAAUAGUACACCCAACAAUUGAAAAAUAAUAUGACAUUAAGUAAUGAUAAUAUAAAUUUAAAUCAAUAUGUGGCAAAUUUUAUUGGAUUUAUUAGAAAAGAAGAAAAAAGAAGAAAGAAGAAAAAUAAUAUGACGUUAAGUGAAUUGGUAGUAGUGGGGAAAGGAGAAAAAAGAAGCAGAUUUAUUAAAGACAAAUACCUAAAUUGAUGCAUGACUUUGACUCCAAAUUAGCAAUCAACAAUGUUAACAAGUAAAUUAUGUAAAAUUAUCGUUAACAAUUAAUUAAACAAAUAAAAAUUCAACUUUAGUAAGAAAUCAUUAGGUUCAAGUGACUAAAGUAAAACAAACAAAAUCUAUCAAUUAAAAUAAGAUAUCAGUAAUAUUAAAUUUAAAAAUUAUAAAACUUCUAGUUAUUAAAAGCUUAUUUUAUGUGUGUGUAUAUGCUCCGCUGAGAUAAGUUAGGUUUAGAAAUUAAGAACUUUAGCUGACAUUCAUUUAUGAUUAAAUUUUUUAAUGUAAGUUUUAUGAUUAAAAUUAAAAAUAUAAAUAAUUAAAAUAAAGAAUGUAGGCGUGAGUAUCCAGUAGAUUUUUUCUCAAUACCAAAUCAACUCGCAUCCUGCAGCGGAUUUCAAUUUAAAAUACUAAACCCACUCACAACCCAGAAAAUUAUUCACAGCAGGUAAGGUUUUAUAGACGAAUUUGGACUGCUUUGUGGGAUGAUGAAUAAUUUUGCCAUCCUUGAACUCAAGGUUCAUCGUUUGCAAGGUCCCUCAUAAAUCAAGCACCCUCUUUGGUGGCUCUAUUCUUCAAAGCUGAACUUUCCCGCCAGUUAUCAAAGUUCACCCUCAAGAUAGCCUGAAAGCUACUUCCUUAAAUAUUUUAGUUCAUCUGAGGCUUGACAAAAAAUGAGCUAAAAUAACUAGUGUCUUUUAUAACUUAAAAUAUUAAAUUUGAAAAAUCAAAAAGAGUUAUUAGGAAAAUAUAAGGUGCAUUUAGUAUAUUUUUUGUUUUGUAGUUUUUCAUUUUCCUAGAAUGAAAACUAUAAAAUUUAUUUUUUAGGUCUAUUUUUUAAUAGUAAAUGUAUCAACUGAAAAAAAGUUGUUCUUGUUUCUCAACUUCACAAAAGAGAGUGCAGAACAGAAAUUGGCAUUCUGCUGUACGGCCAAGGCGGAUGUACGGUACAGCAGAUGACUUUGACUCCAAAUUAGCGAUAUUAACAUCCAUUAUAAUGACAUGGCGAAUUUAACAUUGACUGACAUAGAACGGCGUUCAUUUUUACAUCUCUCCUUCGUCAUUCCUAUCUAAGAAACUAAGAAAUAAUUUUCUGACACGACAUAUGCAUAGAACAUGCAAUGACCUAAACCACUUGACUGAAAUCGAGCUUGCCAUCACCUAAGACUGAUUGAUACUCGAAGACUUCUAAUUCCAGUCUUGAGUCUUUAUCCGCCCUUGAACGUCUGUUGAUAAUUAUUUAUGACGACUUAUAGUGAAUCCGACACUAUAAAAAAUAAAAAUAUGUUUAAUUGAUCUAAAUUAAAAAAUCAUGCCAAUAUUAGUAAUUCCAAAUUUCAUUAAUAUUUCUGGUGUUUGUGUCGGAUUAACACUUAAUUUUAAUGGAGUAAAACUCAAAUUCUUGACCCUGAGAAUAAUUAAGUUGAGGAGGUGUCAUCACUCAACCAACGAGUGCGUAGUUUACAAAGAAGAGUGACAGUGAUAAUAUUGCUAAUUUGGAGUUAAUAUCAACAUGCCAUGGGGAGGAAAAUUUUAGAGUUGUAGUGAAAAGUCAUCAAGACAAUGACAUACCCUCGAGUAUGCAGAAUACUCAACGGGCCGUGAAGGGAAAUACAAGUGGGGAAAGGAGGAAAAAAAAGAAAAAAGAAGCAAAUUAAUUCAUUGACCCAUUAGAUGAAAAAUUAUAGAAAAUGAAAGGAAAUAUAAACACAGGUCAAGGUCCAUAGAUCCUAUUGAAUAAUUUUUUUUUUUCUGGAUAGAUUGUUAAUAACACAUUAAAGAUGGUAACUUAUGAUACAAUUAAUACAUCAUGCCAUUCAUGCAUUUUUCAGUAACGAUAGACUCACUAGUCUGGAGUUUCCGUGAGCCUCUGUCACUCCAUAGACACAGAGAUGGUAACUUAUGAUACAAUUAAUACAUGAAUCUGACUCCAAAUUAGCGAUUUUGAAUUGACCUAAAUUGCUCUCACCAUUAUUAUCUGUGUUAUAUUUUAAAAAAUUGUUUUAAAUUGCUCUCACCAUUAUUGAAUUGACUUAGAGCAACAGUGUCCAAAAAUACAUCUCUCUUUCGUCAUUCUUAUCUUAAAAACUAAGAAAUAAUUUUCUGACACGGCAUAUGUACAGAGCGUGCAAAGGCUUCUAAUUACUAGUCUUGAGUCUCUGAAAUUGAUCGUCUGUUGACUAUAAUUUAAAUGAAAGGUUUGUAAUUGAUCUAAAUUGAAAAUCAUGUCAAUUUUAAUAAAUCCAAAUUCAUUAAUUUGUCUUGUGUUUGUGUCUGAUUAAUUAGUUAAUGGUGCCCAAAAUUGUCACUUCUACUAUUGUGACUUUGUUUCCAUUAAAAUUUAUUUAAUUAUCAUUUUUUUCACUAGUUUCAUUUUUAUUUAAUAAACUUCGGUUAAGGAAUGGAAUUCACCAUUUUUCGCCAGUUGUUUGUAUUUUGAGUUGAUAUCAUAUCCAAAUAAUAUUUAUGAUUUUGUUUUUUAAAUUUCAAGUGGUCUGGACCACUUCGGAAUUAUGUUUUUCAUUUUUUCAAACCAAAAAAAAAAGAUUGAUUUAUUACACAUACGGUAAACACCAGUGCAAGAGUUGUCUAAUGGUUUUUGAUAAGGACUUGGUGACAAAAAAAUUAUCAUCAUUAAGUUAUUUAUUAUAACUAAUAAUAUUUGCUUGUUCAAUACACAGGAGGGUGAUUGAGAAAUUUGGGAUGGCCAAAAACAAUGAGGAGAACUAAUUACAUCUCUCCUUUAUUUACAUCUCUCCUUCGUCAUUCCUAUCUAAGAAACCAAAAAGAAAUAAUUUUCUGACACGACAUAUGCAGAGAACUAAUUAGCGCCCAUCUCAGAAACCAUCAGCUAAAGCUUAUUACCAAUUGGCGCAAUAUUAUUCUUGACCUUGAGAAUAAUUAAAUUGAGGAGGUGUCAUCACUCAACCAACGAGUGCGUGGUUUACAAAGAAAAUUCAAAUGCCGUGGGGAGGAAAAUUUUAGAGUUGUAGUAAGAAGUCAUCAAGACAAUGACAUUCCCUAAAGUACGCAGAAUACUCAACUUGCCGUGAAGGGAAAUUCAAGUGCGGAAAGGAGAAAAAAAUAAGAAGAAAAUUAAUUCAUUGACCCAUUAGAUGACAAAUUAUAGAAAAUGAAAGGAAAUAUAAGCACAGGUCAACUUCGAUAGAUCCUAUUAAAGACUUUUUUUAUUUUUUUGGGUGGGACCUUGCCUCUUCAAAAGUUAAUUUUGUUAGCCAAUGGCUUAAUCAUCAGUCCCAAAUUGUCACUUCUACUAUUGUGACCUUGUUUCCAUUAAAAUUAAUUUAAUUAUCAUCUUUUUUCACUAGUUUUUUUUUUAAUUUAAUAAACCACGGUUAAGGAAUGGAAUUCACCAUUUUUCCCCAGUUGUUUGAAUUUUGAGUUGAUAUCAUAUCCAAAUAAUAUUUAUCAUUUUUUUUUCAAGUGGUCUGGACCACUUUGGAAUUAUGUUUUUCAUUUUUACAAACAAAAAUAAAAAUGAAUGUAUUACGCAUUUACUCAUUUUCAUUUUUUCCCUGUGCUAAUUAAUUAAUCCUCACGUUUGCUGUAAACUUAUUUUCGGUGGUGACGGAAUGGUAAAAAGUUUACGACAUCACAUCAAAUAAUAUAAAAAAAUAUUACUAAGACUAACUUUUGUUGACUUAAAAAAAUAAAAAAAGAGUCCAAUGACUAUAAUGUUUGAAUUGCUGCAAUUUGCCUAUAAAAGCAAAACAAGAUCCUCAAAUUUCUUCACAUCUACAAAGUUAAACAAAUUUUAUUUUUGAGAAAACUAUGGGUUUAUCCUCCAUAUGUUUAUUCACAAUAUUCAUACGGUUAGUUUUUCCCUUCUUUUUCUUUAAUUUUACAAUUGCUAACUUCACUGCUUCUUCUAUGCCGCCACUCUGCCAUGACGAUGAGCGCUCUGCUUUGUUGCAAUUCAAAGAAAGCCGCAUCAGUGGUGAUUUUUAUGCUUGGAAAUUUGAUUGUCGUCCUACAAUGGCAUCAUGGAAGCCAGAAGAAGGUAGCGUUGAUUGCUGCUCUUGGGACGGAGUUCAUUGCAAUAAGAACACUGGUCAUGUCAUCAAGCUUGACCUCUCCCAUAGCUGCCUUUUUGGUUCUAUCAACUCUAGCAGCAGCCUUUUCAAGCUUGUCCAUCUUGAGUGGCUUAAUCUUGCUUUGAAUGACUUCAAUUCCUCCGAAAUCCCACCAGAAAUCAUCAACCUUUCCAGGUUAUCAUACUUGAACCUCUCUGGAACUUCUUUAUCUGGCCAAAUACCAUCAGAAAUUCUAAAGCUCUCCAAUUUGAUGUCCCUUGAUUUAUCACUAAAUGAUGUUCCUGGUGGUAGACUUGAACUCCAGAAGCUUAGUUUCAUAAAUUUAGUCGAGAAGUUAAGCAAUCUAAAAACACUUGACCUUAGUGAUGUUUCUAUUCAGUCAACGAUACCUCAUAACAUUGCAAACCUAUCUUCUUCAACGUUUGUUUCUCUUCGAAACUGUGAAUUGCAAGGUAAUUAAAUUUUAUAUAUUUUCUCCUUAAUUAAUAUACAUGCAUGUUAUUGUUAAAUAUAUAUAUUUUACUAAAAAAUUGCCAAUUGCAAUGUUAAAUUCAUUAGUAAAAACUAUUAUUAUUUUUAAUUUUCUACUUAAGCAAUGUGCUCUUUUUUCUUUUCUCUUUUUUAACAAAUUUCAGGAAGAAUUCCAUCCUCACUUGGUAAUCUAUCCAAGCUCCUUCAUUUAGACCUUUCACUAAAUGAAUUACAGGGUGAGCUGCCUGUUUCUGUUGGUAAUCUUCAUUCAUUGGAAGAACUUGAUCUCUCUGCAAAUUUCCAUUGGAAAUCUUAGAUCAUUGGAAGCAAUAAAUGUCGCUAAGUGUAAUUUUUCAGGUCAAAUUACAUCUUCACUUAGGAAUCUUUCCCAACUUACCGCCCUUGACCUUGCUCAAAAUUCUUAUAGAGGAAUGAUAGAGUUAGAUGUUUUACUUACUAGCUGGAAAAAUUUGGAAUUUUUAGGUCUCUCAUUAAAUAGGUUGUCAGUGCUCACCAAAGCCACUUCUGAUACCACUUCACAGAAACUUAAGUAUAUAGGACUGCGUUCAUGCAAUCUUACUAAAUUUCCUAAUUUCUUGCAAAACCAACAUCAUUUGCGGUUCAUGGAUCUUUCUGACAAUAGAAUUCAGGGAAAAGUGCCUAAAUGGUUGUUAGACCCCAAUAUGCAGAAUCUCAAUGGCUUCAACUUUUCGCAUAACUUGUUAACCGGGUUUGAUCAGCAUCCUGUUGUUCUUCCCGGGAAUAAAGGUGAUUUGCUGACUUUUGAUCUUAGCUCUAAUAAUUUACAAGGACCACUCCCAGUUCCACCCCCCGGAACCAUUACCUAUCUAGCUUCAAACAAUAGCUUAACAGGGGAAAUUCCAUCGUGGAUAUGCAAUUUGAAUAUUCUUGAAAGCCUUGUUUUGUCUCACAAUAACUUAAGUGGCUUGCUUCCUCAGUGUUUAGGCAAUUUCAGCGAUGAACUUUUAGUGCUCGACUUGCAGGGGAACAACUUGUCUGGGACCAUCCCAAAUACUUUCAUUAAAGAAAGUAGAUUAAGCGUGAUUGAUUUAAGCCAUAAUCUGUUCCAGGGAAGAAUUCCAAGAUCAUUGAUCAACUGUUCAAAGUUGGAAUUUCUUGAUCUUGGGAACAACCAGAUUAGUGACACUUUUCCCUCUUGGUUAGGAACUCUUCCAAACUUGAAUGUUCUCAUCCUACGAUCCAACAUAUUUUACGGCAUUAUAGAAGAACCCAGAACUGAUUGUGGAUUUUCUAAACUCCGCAUUAUUGACCUAUCUAACAACAGAUUUACUGGAACGCUUCCAUCAAAGAGCUUCCUGUGUUGGAAUGCCAUGAAAAUUGUCAAUACAAGUGAGCUAAGAUAUCUGCAAGAUGUGCUUUCUCAGUAUGGACGAACGUCCAAUGAUAUACUUAGCACUUACGACUACUCAAUGACAAUGAACAGCAAAGGGAGAAUGAUGACAUAUAACAAGAUUCCGGAUAUCCUCGCGGGCAUUAUUCUCUCAAACAAUAGAUUUGAUGGGGCGAUUCCAGCAUCGAUUGCGAAUUUAAAGGGACUUCAAGUUCUAAACCUCCAGAACAAUAAUCUCCAAGGCCAUAUUCCGUCAUGUUUGGGCAAUCUAACAAAUUUGGAAUCAUUGGAUCUGUCAAAUAACAAGUUUUCAGGACGGAUUCCCCAACAACUGGUUGAGCUCACAUUUCUCGAAUUUUUCAAUGUCUCGAAAAAUUACCUUGCAGGGCCUAUACCACAAGGAAAUCAAUUUGCUACAUUUGACAACACUUCUUUCGACGGCAACUCAGGAUUGUGUGGAAGGCCUUUGUCCAAAGGAUGUGAGAGUGGUGAAGCUCCAACAAAUGAAGAUCAUACUGAAGGCUCGGAGGAGUCCCUAUUUUCAGGCGCAUCUGAUUGGAAAAUCAUUCUGACUGGCUAUGUGGGCGGACUUGUGGCAGGAUUGGUUCUUGGGUUCAACUUCAGCACAGGAAUUAUCAGAUGGAUUCUGGAGAAGUUGGGAAUGCAGCAAAAGGCAACAAGGGGGAGGAGGAGACGUAGAAACUGAAUGCAAUUAUAAUGUUGCUGUGAUUUUUGUUUCUAAUUCAGUCAUUGUAAUGUUGGUGUUUUUUUUUUUAAAUGGAUCCUUACAUUUCACCGUAAAAAAUAAAAAUAUUAACUGGUUUAUUAUAUAUUAAAAAAUGGUUUCUGGUUUUGUCACUUUUCAAAUUUAAAUCACUACUUGGUAUGAAUAAAAAAAUAAUAGUGUUUGGUAAUUAACAUAUCAUUAAAUGAUAAUUGUGAGGGAUUAGGUUCUACUUCUACCAUUAAAAAAUAAUAAUAAUAAUUUUGACAACAAAAGUAAAGAUAACAAAGGUUUUUAUGCAGCAACUAUGGGUUCGAAUCAUCUUUACAUGCAUCCAAGCUAAUGGUGACACUUGAAUGAUAUGGCCAAUUUAACUUUGGUUGACUUAAAACGGUACUCCUGCAUCUGUCCUUCGUCAUUCCUAUGUCAAAACCUAAGAAAUAAUUUUACAGCUAUGUUUCUGCUUCUAAUGAUCAGCAUCUAUAUUAGUGUACUGGACAAACAAGAAGCAAAUUUAUUGACCAAUUAGAUAACAAAUUAAUUAUUGAAAAUAAAAGGAAAUGUAAUAAAGCCCCGAAGAAUAAGUUUGAUAUAUCUAAUUUUAAAUUAAAAAAAAAAAGAUAUUUACACAAUAAUUAUAACUGCCUUAUAAUUAUAACUUAGAAGAAAGCUAUGCUAUUUUCUAACUGCCUUAUAUAAAUUUAUCAGGAGAACAAACAUUACAUUUUACUAUUUGUCAUGAAUCUUACAAUGACUCCGAAAGAGCUUUUGUUUUUUUUUUUUUUUAAAAAGGGAAAAUAAAAAUUAACGCCUAAUGAAGAUCAUAAUAAAAUUCAAAAAGUAUAUUAAUGAGAUUAUAAGAAAUUCAAUUUACGAUACCGAACUAAAGACUGUCUGUGUGUUACAGGAACAAUUGAAAGUUUUACGUGUCGUUCUGAAAGCUUUAAUUCACUUUACUGAAAAGUCUGGGUGAGGCUUGCCCCGGAGCUGGAAGAUUUCAAGAGCUAAGAGAUAUUGCUGUGUUUGUUUGCCUAGAAAGUGAAGAGAAAAUACUAAAAGUUUUGAUAGAAAAAUAGUGAGCCAGAUUCAUUUCAUUAAGCUACAAAAUGAACUGAGAUUACAGGGGUUUAUGUCCAGGAGCUUCUAUAAGCAACAAAAUCAUGAGCGUGACCUCGGCCGCUUGUAACAACAUUUGAGAUUUCAGGGGUUUAUAUAUACAUGUCCAGAGGCUUCUUAAGCAAAGCAACAGCCUCCAUAACUGACUGCUGACGUGGUUGAUGACUCAGCAUAUUGCUCAACAUCAAGAACCUGUUGAUGAUAAUUGAUGCAGAAAUUUUUUUUCCUCACUUAAUUUUGAAAAUAUGCUCUUUCGACAUUUGAAUAUUGCUCAAGUAUUCAUUUCCUGUUUGGAUUUGGAUAGAUCGAGGUAAAAUAUCAGAGUUUCGCAUACAAUUGGCCUCCAAUUUCUGAUCGUAAAAUUUUUCACAUAAUGAAUGACAAUACUUUUUCGUUGAUUGGGAAGAGGAGCAUCCUUCUUGCUGCAUUUCUAUUGUCAGCAUUUGGAUUUGCUGUUACCAUGAGUACGCAUACUUGUACCGUGAGAAGAACUAGAGCUGCUACCAGAAUGCAUUUUCAGAAGCGGCAAGUUUGGUCAUGUGGACCAAGGAAUGUUUAGUUGCUCAUAUAUAUAUAUAGUCUUGUGGCCCAUGAAAUGCUGGAUUGUUAGAUUUUUUUUAAAAUAAAUGUUAAAUGUAUGCGGGCUAAAUUAUUUAGAAUAUUAUUAGUGGGUGUUGUUAGUUAGGGGUUUUGCUAAUCGAUGACAGCAGGUUGAUGAAGUUAUAUUUGUUGCACAUGAUGACAAGUUUUUGUUUUAAAUUCAUUUAUUUCAUUAAAUUUAUAAACUGAAUAUUAAUAAUGUUUUGUUGCUUAAUUUAUUGAUAAUGGAAACCGUUUAUCAUUGCUGCCCAUUAGUACAUUAUGUUGAAAUUUGUCUCAACUAUAUGUCAGCUACUAAACAAAAAAUGGAUAAAUCUUGGCUUAAAUAUGAUAUAUUGUUUGAUGAGUAUGAGGCUGAUGUGAAAAAAUUUAUUAAGACUGUAGUUGAAGGAUUAUGAUUCUUUCCAAAUAAGAGUUUAUUUCUUCAACAACAACAACAACAACAACAACAACAACAACAACAACAACAACAACAACAACAACAACAACAACAACAACAACAACAACAACAACAACAACAACAACAACAACAACAACAACAACAACAACAACAACAACAACAACAACAACAACAACAACAACAACAACAACAACAACAACAACAACAACAACAACAACAACAACAACAACAACAACAACAACAACAACAACAACAACAACAACAACAACAACAACAACAAUAAUGAUAAUAUUGUUAAUAAUGAUAAAUUAAUUAUUUUUAUUAAUUAUUAAUACUAUGGGUAUUUUGGUAAAUUGAUUCUCAUUCCCUUUUUUCAUUCGCAUUUAUUUUGCCAAGUAAACACAUUAAUGACAUUCCAACAUAUUCCUAUUACAGCCCAUUCCCAUUCCUUGAAGUAAACACACUAUAAAUGAGCGACUCUAACCAAAUAUUGAGUUGAACCAACCCCUAUUAAAGGCAUUUUCAACAACUAGAAUGAAAGCAAAUAAAUAAAUUUUUUAAUUAAAUUAUUAAUUAAUAGUACAAUAACCCAAAAUUAAAAAUAUGUUUUCUUUGAUUAAUUUUAAAAAAAAAAUUCAAACUGUAAAACUAGACAUCCACAUCUAUUCCAUUAAUCCGUUAUCUAAUUAGCUAGUUAGGUACUAUUUUAGUUAGUUUAGAAAGUGUACUGUUUGAUCAUUAACAUCGUAAACUUGAUGAAAUCGUAAUAAUUACGUAGAAGUAUUGAAAGUGAGAAAUUCAAUACAAUAAAAUUUAAAACAAAUACCUUUUUCUUACUCAUGUGACUAUGUGAGCAGGAUUGAACCUUUAAAUUAGUUCAAGAGAUUUUACUGGUUUAAGUAGGAGCACUCAUUCUAGUUAUAAACAUUCCAUAAAUAUUAUGAUUGUUUUAAUGGAACUUAUUUUAGGAUGAGAACAUUCAAGUCUUUUUGACAAUUUAAAUAAAAAAUUAUGUUUUUGGCCAAUAAUUACUAUAAUAUGGAAAUCUGAUAGCUAGUGCAACAAUUAGGGAUAACUGGUUCUACCCUUUUCUUUUACUUUAAUCCUCCUUAAUUACUCGAGGAAGAGUAGAGAGUUCAAGAAAAUGCAGAGACAUCGGACAAAUUAGAAAUCUAAUCCUAAAUGUGUAGGACAACAUUUGUCCAUGAGGUUCCUUAAAACGCAACUUUUGUGCAGUGAAAUUAAAACGGAUGGCGGAAGCUCUAGAAACCUCGGAUAGGCUUCAUUCAAAAAUGAAAAUCAAGAGGAAAGAUUGAAGUUUAAUUACUUCACUUGUAGUUUCAAAAAUGACUUUGUGAAGUAGGAGAAAAUGACUGAAAACAGCAAGCUACGAACACUGUCCAGAAAAUAAACCUCUGAACGAACAGCUUCUGUUUUGCCACGAUUUGAGAUCCUUAAAGCACCCCAAUUGUGAUGCCUCUAGUUAGUCCACACUUAGAAAUGUUCUAGGAGUUCAUAGGAUUUGGAAUCACGAAAUUUCGUUUAGAAAUGAGAGUGAUAAUGAGGAAACAUGAAUGCUAGUUCAUGAUGAUUCAUUCCACCAAAUAAAGCCACCACUAUCUUUUAGAACUAAGAAAGAAUUUUCUGACACGACAUAUGAUUGAUACUCGAAGACUUCUAAUUCUAGUCUUGAGUAUUUAUCCGCCGGCCUUGAUCGUCUGGAUAAUGAUUUAUGACCGACCCACCCACUAAGCCAUUAUUUAUUGAAUGUGAUCUUAUCACUUCAAUAAUUUAUUUAAUCAAAUAAAUAAAUAACUAAAUUAAUUAAGUUUAGAGGAAAAUUUUUGAGUUGUAGUGAAAAGUCAUCAAGCCAAUCACAUAAACUCGAGUAUGCAGAACAUGUUCUAAUGCUUUCUCUUAAUCCAUAUUAGGUCCAAUAAAAGUCCAAAAUUCUAAACCCAAAAUUGGUCUAGAAGUCCAUAAUUAUAUAUGAACCGGAACAUGUCCAAAAUGGUCAUUUUACGUGCUUGAUAUUAUACAUAAUGUUUAAUUGAGGAUUUAUGAAAUUUAUUUUGUUCCUUAAACUAUUUACGGAACAUCUAAAUUUCUAUCUUAAAUCAUAUUUAAGAUAUAUUUAUAUAUAUAUAUAUAUUCAUUCUUAAUGAAUUAUAAUAUAAAUAUCGAUUUUCCUAAAAUUAGGAAAUUUAACUUCUCAUUUUCUAGUAACUCCUUUUUUCAUUUCUAUUUGGUGUGUGACUUUUUAGGUUCUUUGUUAUAAGGUAGUAGAACUAUUUUACUGAUAACUCUUUAUGCAUUAAAUGAUGCUAAACCCUUUAGUCAUCAAAUAGAACUUUUCUAAUGACCUUAAGAUGCAUUGCUAAUACGCUUUACCAAUAUUAAUCUUAAGGUUUCUACAAGUCAUGAGUGACACCUAGCAGUAUUUCACAACCAUCCAAAUAACAAGAAUUGUUGGAUCUAUAGAACCUUUUCCAUUGUAUCCCUAUGUCUUGGUCUCUCUUGGUCUCUUCAUCAUCCAUGUCCAGAGAAAAGCACGCCUUACAGUUUAUUAUGUUAAGCAGUUAUGCUUUAUCUCAAAAUCAAAUAAUAAAAAAUAAAUAUUAUUAAGACUAACUUUUGUUGACUUAAAAAAAUAAAAAAAGAGUCCAAUGACUAAAAUGUUUGAAUUGCUGCAAUUUGCCUAUAAAAGCAAACCAAGAUCCUUAAAUUUCUUCACAUCUACAAAGUUAAACAAAUUUAAUUUUUUAGAAAACUAUGGGUUUAUCCUCCAUAUGUUUAUUCACAAUAUUCAUACGGUUAGUUUUUCCUUUCUUUUUCUUUAAUUUUACAAUUGCUAACUUCACUGCUUCUUCUAUGCCGCCACUCUGCCAUGAUGAUGAGCGCUCUGCUUUGUUGCAAUUCAAAGAAAACCGCAUCAGUGGUGAUUUUUAUGCUUGGAAAUUUGACUGUCAUCCUACAAUGGCAUCAUGGAAGCCAGAAGAAGGUAACGUUGAUUGCUGCUCUUGGGACGGAGUUCAUUGCAAUAAGAACACUGGUCAUGUCAUCAAGCUUGACCUCUCCCAUAGCUGCCUUUUUGGUUCUAUCAACUCUAGCAGCAGCCUUUUCAAGCUUGUCCAUCUUGAGUGGCUUAAUCUUGCUUUGAAUGACUUCAAUUCCUCCGAAAUCCCACCAGAAAUCAUCAACCUUUCCAGGUUAUCAUACUUGAACCUCUCUGGAACUUCUUUAUCUGGCCAAAUACCAUCAGAAAUUCUAAAGCUCUCCAAUUUGGUGUCCCUUGAUUUAUCACUAAAUGAUGUUCCUGGCGGUAGACUUGAACUCCAGAAGCCUAGUUUCGUAAAUUUAGUCGAGAAGUUAAGCAAUCUAAAAACACUUGACCUUGGUGAUGUUUCUAUUCGGUCAAUGAUACCUCAUAACAUUGCAAAUCUAUCUUCUUCGAUGAUUAUUUUUCUUCGAAACUGUGAAUUGCAAGGUAAUUAAAUUUUAUAUAUUUUCUCCUUAAUUAAUAUACAUGCAAUGUUAAAUUCAUUAGUAAAAACUAUUAUUAUUUUUAAUUUUCUACUUAAGCAAUGUGUUCUUUUUUCUUUUUUAACAAAUUUCAGGAAGAAUUCCAUCCUCACUCGGUAAUCUAUCCAAGCUCCUUCAUUUAGACCUUUCACUAAAUGAAUUACAGGGUGAGCUACCUGUUUCCGUUGGUAAUCUUCAUUCAUUGGCUUCCAUGAGCCUUUGCCACGUCCUAGUCAUACAGACAAUACACAUGCAAUACACGCAUGUUUUUGACUCCAAAUUAGCAAUAUUAACAUCCAUCCAUUAUAAUGAUAUGGGGAAUUCAACUUUAGUUGUCUUAGAACGGCGUUCAUAUUUACAUCUCUCCUUCCUCAUUCCUGUCUAAGAAACUAAAAAAUAAUUUUCUGACACGGAUGGUCCACUGGAAAUUUUAGUUCUUUGAAGUUAUUAGAUCUAAGGUCAUGUAGUUUUUGGGGCAAAGUUCCACAUUUGAUUGGUAAUUUCACCCAGCUACAAUAUUUGCUUCCCUAAACCACUUGACUGAAAUCGAGCUUGCCAUCACCUAAGAUUGAUUGAUUCUCGAAGACUUCUAAUUCUAGUCUUGAGUCUUCAUCGAGCCUUGAUCGUCUGUUGAUAAUGAUUUAUGACGACUUAUAGUGAAGCCGACACUAUAAAAUGAAAUAUUUUUAAUUUUAGUAAAUCCAAAUUUCAUUAAUUUUUCAGGGGUUUGUGUCGGAUUAACACCUAAUUUUAACAAGUUAGAUGUUUUACUUACUAGCUGGAAAAAUUUGGAAUUUUUUGCUCUCUCAUUAAAUAGGUUGUCAAUCUAAUUACUAGUCUCGAGUCUCUGAAAAUCAUGUCAAUUUUAGUAAAUCCAAAUUCAUUAAUUUAUCUUGUGUUUGUGUCUGAUUAAUUAGUUAAUCGUGCCGAAAUUGUCACUUCUACUAUUAUGACUUUGUUUGCAUUAAAAUUAAUUUAAUUAUCAUCUUUUUUCACUUUUUUUUUUAAUUUAAUAAACCUCGGUUAAGGAAUGGAAUUCACCAUUUAUCGCCAGUUGUUUGUAAGAUUUGUUUGAAUUUUGAGCUGAUAUCAUAUCCAAAUAAUAUUUAUCAAUUUUUUUUUAAAUUUCAAGUGGUCUGGACCACUUCGGAAUUAUGUUUUUCAUUUUUUCAAACAAAAAUAAAAAUGAAUGUAUUACUCAUUUUGCUAUAAACGUAUUUUCGGUGGAAAUAAAAAUGAAUGUAUUACUCAUUUACUCAUGAAUUAAUCCUCACGUUUGCUAUAAACGUAUUUUCGGUGGUGACGGAAUGGUAAAAGUUUACGACAUCACAUCAAAUAAUAAAAAAUAAAUAUUAUUAAGACUAACUUUUUGUUGAAAAUUGAUUAAAAAAAAAGAGUUGAAAAAUCAAGUCUCCAAUGGGAGAAUGAAGAAAAGCAAAACCGCAAAAUGAACAGUAGCCGCAAAAUGAACAGUAGCCGUAAGAUGAACAGUAGCCGCAAGAUGAACAGUAGCCGCAAGAUGAACAGUAGUCACUGGUGGCUAUAAAUAGAGGAGUGCUCCUCCUUAUUGUUUGUAUCCCAAAUCCCAGAGAAGGAAUCCAAGUUUUGGUGAGAAAUUGAGAGAGAGAAAUGUUCUUAAGCAUGUAGUUAUAUUGAAGGAGAAGUUGGCUCCUCAAUAUGGGUAUUACGGGUUUGCUUUGUUAAGGGAUAUUUCUCGGGAUUAUGUAUUUGGGGCUUGGGUGAGAGAAAAAUUAUUUCUGAAAGUGGUUAUAAUAAUUUUCCACAUAGUGAAUAUUUUUCUCUGGUUGUCUUGUGACAACGGCCGUGGUUUUUCUCCGGAUUUGGAGUUUUCCACGUAAAUCUUGUGUUGUGUGAUUGGUGUAUUCUCCAUUUAAUUUUUCUUAUUAAUUUGUUGCUUGAUAAAUUGCUUGGAGAGAUCUUGGGAGGAAGCUCAAUUUCCUAACACUUUUGUUGACUUAAGAAAAUAAAAAAAGAGUCCAAUGACUAUAAUGUUUGAAUUGCUGCAAUUUGCCUAUAAAAGCAAACCAAGAUCCUCAAAUUUCUUCACAUCGCUCCAAAUGGACAAACGUCCAAUGAUAUACUUAGCACUUACGACUAGUCAAUGACAAUGAACAGCAAAGGGAGAAUGAUGACAUAUAACAAGAUUCCGGAUAUCCUAGCGGGAAUUAUUCUCUCAAACAAUAGUUUUGAUGGGGCGAUUCCAGCAUCGAUUGCAAAUUUAAAGGGACUUCAAGUUCUAAACCUCCAGAGCAAUAAUCUCCUGGGCCAUAUUCCGUCAUGUUUGGGCAAUCUAACAAAUUGUCAUUGCAAUAAGAACACUGGUCAUGUCAUCAAGCUUGACCUCUCCCAUAGCUGCCUUUUUGGUUCUAUCAACUCUAGCAGCAGCCUUUUCAAGCUUGUCCAUCUUGAGUGGCUUAAUCUUGCUUUGAAUGACUUCAAUUCCUCCGAAAUCCCACCAGAAAUCAUCAACCUUUCCAGGUUAUCAUACUUGAACCUCUCUGGAACUUCUUUAUCUGGCCAAAUACCAUCAGAAAUUCUAAAGCUCUCCAACUUGGUGUCCCUUGAUUUAUCACUAAAUGAUGUUCCUGGUGGUAGACUUGAACUCCAGAAGCCCAGUUUCACAAAUUUAGUCGAGAAAUUAACCAAUCUAAAAACACUUGACCUUGGUGAUGUUUCUAUUGAUUCAACAAUACCUCAUAACAUCGGAAAUCUAUCUUCUUUGACAUUUGUUUCUCUUCGAAACUGUGAAUUGCAAGGUAAUUAAAUUUUAUAUAUUUUCUCCUUAAUUAAUAUACAUGCAUGUUAUUGUUAAAUAUAUAUAUUUUACUCGAAAAUUGCCAAUUGCGAUGUUAAAUUCAUUUGAAAAAAUUAUUAUUAUUUUUAAUUUUCUACUUAAGCAAUGUGUUCUUUUUUUUUUAAUACAAAUUUCAGGAAGAAUUCCAUCUUCACUCGGUAAUCUAUCGAAGCUCCUUCAUUUAGACCUUUCACUAAAUGAAUUACAGGGUGAGCUGCCUGUUUCCGUUGGUAAUCUUCAUUCAAAGAACUGGACCUUUCACAGAAUAGAUUUUUUGUUGAGUUGCCUAUUUCCAUGGGAAAUCUUGGUUCUUUGAAAGAACUUGACCUUUCACACAAUGCAAUUACAUCUUCACUUAGGAAUCUUUCCCAACUUUUCUUCCUUGACCUUGCUCAAAAUUCUUAUAGAGGAACGAUAGAGUUAGAUGUUUUACUUACUAGCUGGAAAAAUUUGGAAUUUUUUGCUCUCUCAUUAAAUAGGUUGUCAAUGCUCACCAAAGCCACUUCUAAUACCACUUCACAGAAACUUAAGUAUAUAGGACUGCGUUCAUGCAAUCUUACUAAAUUUCCAAAUUUCUUGGAAAGCCAACAUCAUUUGGUGGUCUUGGACCUUUCUGACAAUAGAAUUCGAAAGUGCUCUGCCGUUUUCCAUUCAUCAAGCAUGGUUGCUCUGCCGUUUAAGUGUCAUUUUCAUAAGAACACCACGAGUGACAAGUUUUCACCUUUAGGCAACGACGAUGACUUAAGUGGCGGGAGUGAGGUUGAAAAUCCUGCCUCUGAUGAAGAUAUGGAAGAUAUGAAGCAAUAAAGUUUGAUCAUAAAUUCUGGGCUCUGAACAUGGGAACCAACACUGGUGAUUGCAGUUCAGACUCGCGCCUCUUCCAUAACAUUGACUCAUUAUCAUACCAUAAACAGGUCUCAUUCAUCUACUGUUAAAGACCGGGGAAGGAAUUUUUCUCACCACGGCCUGAGGGGUUUAAGGCUGCAGCCGGCUAUCCUUCUCUCUGAUACUUAACAAAGCAAUGAGAAAAGUUGCAGUAUUGCAUUAUCGGCUUUUCUGUGUGUAUGUUUAUAUAUUACCUCAUAUAGAUCCUGAUAAGGAGCUAAUGGUAGUUAAUAUUCUUGUCAAUUACUACUACUAUAUCAUAUGCUUCAUACUACUAGAUACACAUAUUCCGUCUACUUUUCGACUUUUGCCAACCCCUCUGAGGCCUUGGCCCUAGAGCUCUCUGCUUAUGUCCUGGUGCUUGAUUCGUAGAUUUGGAUUGGGCUUUUUCGAGAGAAAAUACCUAAAGAGAAGUGUGCGAACACUCACUCUGUCAAGUGUAAAAUAUGUGGUCUUAGCGCCAUUGAGAUUUGAUCGAUUGAUUUUAACGGGUAGGUCCAUCGUGCACCCUCAAGUCUUGACCAUAUAAUCAAAGCAAGAUGGCAACCUCCCGCGUAUUUUAUAUUCUAAGACAAAGCCUUUAAUAAAGGAGAGAAAUCAAUACAUUCAUUCAAAAAUAAUGCAAAAAAAAAAAAAAAACGUUUCUUUUAUCGAUAUAAAAAAUUGGGUAUAAAAUUAUCCUCGUACCCUCCCCGAAUGGGAAAAAUCCCCGAGAGUACCCGUCCCCGUGGGGAUUUUUGUCAUCCCUAUUGAUAAUAGAUUAUUUUUGUAUUAGAUACUUCUUUUAAAUUAAAAUAAAUAAUAAUCAUCAUUUCACCGACAAAUAUGAUUGUAUUUGGAUAAAGAAAUUAUACUUGGAUAAAACUUAGUUUACAAAAAAAAAAAAAUUGAUACUCGAGCAGUUUCUACACUUUAAGCAGUUUAGCAAUAGACUAGGAUAUUGAUAAUCGUUUCUUAAAAAAAAAAAAAAAACUAUGCUCAUAAAAAUAACAAGGUGAAAAAUAUUAUCGAAUGUUUUAAAAUGAUUGGUCUUUAAAAUAAAAAUGAUCAUCCAUUUAAAUAAUUUAAAGUUAUAUUUUGUAUAAGAUUCAUAAGGGAUCAAAUUGUUUCAUAGAAAACGUUGGUCAAAAACUUUUACAAGAAUCUAAUUUAAUGUCCUUUUAGUGAUACGUCCAUAACAGCCAUGUUGUUGCAAUGUUUGCUUUAUUCCACCUCGAACAAGACUGCAAAUAGGCACAAUACUUCCUUUCUUUUCUUUCUCUUCUUUUUUGUUUUUUUUUUUUAAUUUUUUUUUUUUUUUUUUUUUUUUUUAAUUUUUUUGUUUGUUCUUAUUUUAUACACGCAGGCCAGACGGCCCAGACCCCACGUAUCAUUAAAAAAAAUUGCCAAACACGGUCUUGUGUUUUUAUCCAUUUGGACUCGGCAGCUUGCGUCGGUGCAAAUCAUUUACAAAUGUGACGAAUUAAUUGACGGUAAAUCGAUGACGAAAAUUGAACACCCAAGCAUUCCAACAUCAAAUGGUAAAUGAUCAAACGGUGGAUGAUUUGAGUCCCAACGAAAAAGAAUUCCACAUGCAUCACGCCAUACAAUCGUUGAAUGCGAAAAAUAGAAAGAUAUGAUAAUAAAAAUUUUAGUAAUAAGAAAAUUAAUCAUGUUAGCGAAUGGUAGUUAUCAAAUCGGUUGGAAGGUUAAUGUAAUGGUGGACAUUGGAACUUAUGAUGUACAACAUAGUUUUUAGUCAAAGAUUCGGAGAUUUAAACAGUAUUAUAUAAAUUAAAGAGUGGUUAAUGUGGCAAUUAGUUGAUUAAUUAAUUAUAUUCCAUUUGUUUAGUUAUAUUCCAUUUGUUUAGUUAUAAUUGAUUAAAUUGAUAAGAUUAUCUUUCAUAAAUAAAAUUAUGACAUUCAGUUUGAUUCUUUUUUUUUCCAGAUAAAAAUCAAAUCGUUUCUACUUUCUCUAUUAAUGCAAAUUUCUCACAAUUAAUCUCACGGUGGAAAGUUGUCAAAAAAAGAAUAAAUCUGAAGGUGGAAAGAAAAAAUAACCUGAUGCAUUUAAAUUGGUGAUAAUAAGUAGUAUUCAAUUUUAGAUAAAAGACCAAAAAAACCCACACGCUUUUGAAACUGUGUGUGUCUGUGUGAUAUUCAUUUCGCCUCUAUGCUGCCCAAUAUUAUUUGAUUUUAUACCAAUGUUAUUUGAUUCUUGCACCAACAUUAUUUGUGUAUGCUGACCUACAUGCAACACAGCUAAUAAACUUCAUCAACGUAAUAACUCCUAAGCAGUAAAGAGAAUAUGGGAAUUACUGAAAGAGAACCUCACAUUAUUGUUUGAUCAAAAUUAUGUAACACAUCAAACUUUCCAGACUCAUCCGAAAACCUCAAUCAUCUUGAUGAGGGUUGAUCCUCUCAACUCUUUCAAGACUUCCAAGCCAGCGAACAAAGUCAACAUAGAUACCCAGCACUACAACAAUGCCCAUCUUCCAAUACAUCAAACAAUUUUCAAAACCUUGGAUGAGUCUACUAAACAAACUAAACAUGAUGCAAACACGACCAGUACUUCCUCAAAUUGGUUUCAUCUGUAUUAUAUACUUGCGACACAGGGCAAUAAAUGAACUUAAUGAUAAACCAGACUACCUAUACUAACUAUAUUAUAUACCUAACUGCUUACAAAACUUGUUUCUCCCAGCCCCAUGAGAUUCCUGCAUUGCCAAAUCCAUUAUGGCUAAUUGGACCACAAGAAUUCAUUGAGUUCCACUGGGUUGGAGAAUGUUUUCCAACCCGGAAAUGGUCUCUCACAAACAAAAUUAGACCUCUUAUAUCCUCUUCUACUCUUCCAAUCCAAGGUCAGAUCAAACUUCUUCUUCCUCAGGUAAUUCUGAUUCUAAUCCUCCUUGUGAGUUAAAUUCAAAUUCUAAUCCUUCUAGUGAGUUAAAUUCAAAUUCUCAGGUUCUUAGUGAUCUGGACAUGCCUAUUGCUCUUAGGAAAGGUACUAGAAGUUGUGCCAAAUACUCAUUGUCUAAUUUUGUUUCAUAUCACAACCUAUCACCUUCUUUCUAUGCAUUUACCUCACAACUUUCUAGUGUAGAAAUUCCAAAGAAUGUGCAGGAUGCUCUAAGUGUACCUGAUGGAAGGCAGCUAUCCUUGAAGAGAUGAAUGCUCUUGAGAAGAAUCAGACUUGGAAGGUGGUCAAUUUGCUUAAAGGAAAGUCGACAAUUGGCUGCAAGUGGGUAUUUACUGUCAAAUACAAUUCAGAUGGUUCACUUGAGAGAUACAAGGCUCGCCUAGUGGCAAAGGGGCUUACGCAAACUUAUGGGAUUGACUAUUCAGAGACCUUUGCACCAGUAGCAAAGUUAAACACUGUACGAGUUCUCUUGUCUAUCACUACAAACCUAAAUUGGCCAUUACAAUAGUUGGAUGUGAAAAAUGUGUUUCUCAACGGGGAUUUAAAAGAGGAAGUAUACAUGGAUCCUCCUCCUGGUUUCUUUGAAAAUUUUGGGUCAAAUGUGUGCAAAUUGCAAAAGUCCUUGCAUGGUCUCAAACAAUCGCCUAGGGCUUGGUUUGAGAAAUUUACUAUGGCUGUGAAUAGACAAGGUUACAGACAAAGUCAGACUGAUCAUACAACGUUCACUAGAGUUUCAGCUAAAUGUAAAAUCACUGUGCUUAUAGUGUAUGUGGGUGACAUUAUUCAUACUGGAGAUGAUUUAGUUAAAAUGGAUAGAUUGAAGCAAAGUCUAGCCACUGAUUUUGAAAUCAAGGACUUAGGUGCCUUGAAAUACUUUCUUGGAAUGGAAGUUGCUCGUUCCAAGAAAGGUAUAGUUGUCUCACAAAGGAAAUACAUCCUUGAUUUAUUGAAGGAAACUAGAAUGAGUGGCUGUAAGCCAGUGGAUAGACCUGUGGAGUACAAUUUAAGACUAGGUGAAGGAGAAAAAGCCCUAGUAGAUCUACGACGAUAUCAAAAUUUGGUGGGAAAACUUAUUUACUUGUCUCUUACUAAACCAGACAUCACUUUUCCAGUCAAUAUAAUAAGUCGCUUCAUGCAUCAUCCUCGGGAAGAACAUCUUGAAGCUGUUUAUAAAAUUCUCAAAUAUCUAAAAGGUACUCUAGGAAAGGGACUUUUGUUUAGAAAAACAGAGAAUAGAGGUAUUGAGGUAUACACUGAUGCUAAUUGGGCAGAUUCAAUUACAGACAGGAAGUCUACUACAGGCCAUUGCACUUUUGUAUGGGGUAAUUUAGUGACUUGGAGGAGUAAAAAACAAAAUGUAGUUGCACGAAGUACUGCUGAAGCUGAAUUUACUGCUGUACCGUACAUCCGCCUUGGCCGUACAGCAUGCCGAGUGAAAUAAAGGCAAUUCGCUAUUCAAUCCUUGCACUACCACUUAUAUUUUCGUCUCAGAAAAUACCAUCUAAGCUGAAGUAAAUGCAUGCAAUUGAAUGUCUCGAUCAAUGACGAGGGAGAUAAUGUUUUAAGAUUUAAUAUGUUGUUGGCGAGUUUGAAGGUGUUGCGGUCAUAUACUAUUAAUUCAAUAAUUUAAAAUGGAAUCUUUUAAUAUAUUUUAUUAGUGUAAGUUUUGUAAAUUAUUUAAUUUUUAGUUUCAAAAGAAUCUUUUAAUUGAUUUACAUUUAUAAUUUAUUGAAUAAAUAAUUGAUAUCAUUAAUUUUAAUAAAUAAAAUUAUAAAUAUUAUGAUUUUAUAAAUAUGUAUUAAUGUUAUUAUCGACUAUGAUUUAUAACUCUAUGUAAAUCUAGUUUAACAAUUAAGUUAACCCUUAAAAAAAUUAUUAUUGUUGUUGUUGUUGUUAAGUAGUUAAAAAGAAUUUUAAUACCGUAAGGUCUCACUUAAAAACUAAUAUUAUAUUCUCUUAAUAUUAAUAAUUUAUUAUUAUUGAAUAUGAAAUUAAGUUUUGAAUUUUUUAUUCUAUUGAAUUUGAGAAAAGGCACAUGAACAUAAAAAAGUAUAAAGGUUAGAAAAAAGUAGGCCAACAAUUUGGUAUGUCCUCUUAAAAAAAAAAAAAGCUUAUCGUGCUUUUUUUCUUAAGCAUGACACAAAACGACUUAUGAUACGGUAUGUGUGUUGGGCUGGGUCUAAGUAAAAAAAAAAAAAAGGCACGACCUAGGACGGCAUGAAAUACAGGGUGGGCAUGGUAAGGUACGAGUAUGAGUAUGGAUGGGCCUUUCAUUGAUGGGCUAGGCCAACACCAUCUCCACCACUAGAUAACCUAUUUUGUUAAUAAUAAAAAGAAAACUCUAAAAUUUGAAUAAAUCAUAUUCAAACCUAAUUUGUUUGAUUUAUUGUGAGAGGAAGACAAUAUUCUCUACACCAAAUAGUAUAUUUUUGUAAUGAUCAUAUGCAGCCACAUAUGAAUCUUUACGUAACCUUAUUAUUAUGUUGUUUUCUAAAAAAGCUAACGACAAAUUCUAGAAUACAUUAGAAAUAACAAAAUUAGUUAAUGCAUGCAUGAUAUGUUUAAUUAAAUUAAUUUAAUCACGCUUACAUGGAGAUUUUCUAAAAUAAAAGCACAUAUGUCAUCAAAUUAUUUGUUUGUUGGGAAUUGAUAUGAUACCUCUAUUGUAUUAUAGAAUUUCACCCAAAAAGAAUAAUGUUAUGAGUUGUUUUAUAUGAUAAUUUUAUGUUAUGAGUUGUUGAUUUGGUAAUUAAUAGAAUAAUGGUUCAUGAUAUUUUGGUGUGAUGAUUUGUGUAUGGAGUUGGCUUGUAUCAUGAUUUAUAAUAAUUUGGGAGUAAUAUUACUAAACUUGUAUUUGAGGUAAUGCUUGUUGUUAGGGGGAGAAUGUGUUGAAAUUUCUACUCGGACAAACAUGAGUAAUGAAUUUGCUACUCUUAUUCUUUUCCUUUAAGUUUUCUUUUUGAUGAUGAAGGGGGAGAAGAAGACAUAUUUUUAAAUUUAUAAAAAUUUACUACUCUUUUUCUUUGCCAAUUAAGUUUUCUUUUUUAUGAUGAAAGGGGAGAAAAAUGCAUGUAUUUAAAUUUGUUAAUUUAGCUAAUUGGUAAAUUGUAAGAGAAGAUUAUAUUUAGGGGGAGCAAUUUGUGGAAUCAUUCUUUAAAUACAUGAAAUGUUUGUCAUCAUCAAAAAGGGGGAGAUUGUUAACAUAUAUGUUUCCAUAAUGUUGAUUUUGAUGCUAACAAACAAGAUUAAGAAUGAUUAAUCUUUUAAGCUCAAAUUAUUUUCUUUUUAAAUAAAUCAUUAUUUUCAAAUUAUAAAGGUUUCAUAUUUAAUGGAAAAAUGAUGUUAUGGAAUUAAAGUGUUUUGGACUAAAAUAAAAGUAUUUUAAAACCUUUGAUAUUGUUUUUAAAAUUUCAGAUUUGGACCUAUUUGAAACUAUUUAAAUAUUUUGGGUCAUUCUAUAAUUUCACAUAGUUUGGGUGAAAUCAUAAUUUCAGAAAGUUUUGGGAUUGACAAAGCAUUAUUUAAAAAUUCUNNNNNNNNNNNNNNNNNNNNNNNNNNNNNNNNNNNNNNNNNNNNNNNNNNNNNNNNNNNNNNNNNCGGAUGUCCAUAAACGGUAAGCCGGUUAUGACCAAAAUGUGCAUAACGGCUAGUUUUUGAGCUCAAACUAUAUAAACUCAAAACCAAUUCAUUUUUGGUAAUCUUGGCAAGCAAAAACAAGUGCACACAACAUAUAUUGAGCUUCAAUUUCGUAAAUCAUCAUUUAUUAAAUCACCUUUGUUCUUCAAUUUGUAUAUCCACUCUUAAAGAGAGUUUCAUUGAUGUAAUUUUCAUUUCUCAUCAAAUUGUGAGUGUACAAGUGUGAGAAACACUUGGGGUGAAGAGAUUGGAGAGAUAAUCUCUUGUUGUAAAGGUUCAUUGACAUCUUGAAGUCAAUUGUAAACUAUUGAAGCCUUGGAAAGGCUCGGAUAGUGAAAUCCUCAAGCCCGGUGUGCUUGGAGGCGUUGACGUAUGCGGGGAUUGCCGAACCACGUAAAAAUCCUUGAGUUUGCUUUCUCUUCCCUUGCUCAUUUAUUAUUGUGCUUUCAUUGAAUUUAUUGUUUUCAAAUUUAUUAAGGCAUUAGAUUGGAUUGUUGUGUGUUUGCUUAGCUUAAUUUAUAAAAACCCAAUUCACCCCCCCUCUUGGGUUGCCUAGUUAGUAUUUCAGUAGUGACACCGAUGGCUUCAAUAAUGGACGCGAAGGCGCAACAAUGAGCGUAUGUGGUGAUUUUGUGCCUAAAACCAAUGGGUUCAAAAUAAUGGGGGUUCAAAAUAAGGACGCGAAGGCUCGUUCAAUAGCAUAUACUAUGAUUUUGGUUUCCAUGCAAUGGGUUUUAAAACCAAUUUGUAGAUUAAAAUAGGUUAAUUUUAGAUUUUGAGGGGUUUCAGUGCUUUGGUUUCUCAGCCCUUGCCGAUGAAGUGAUAAGUCAAAGGUGCCAACACUUAAUUUUUUUGUGGUUUAGUCAAUAUAGUUAAAUGAUAGCAUUUAAAUGUUAAAUAAAUAUUUUUGUUUUAAAAUUUUUUUAAAUCUGUUAAACGGUGUCUUUCAUGCCCAAAUUAAUUCCAUCUGAAACUCACGGUUUGAUUAAAUAUUAAUAUGCUAUCAUGUUUAUCUAAUAUAUAAAAACUCUAUCACAAAUCUGUCAUGGCUUUAUGAUGUAUGAAAAUUCUUUCAUGUGUCUAUCACAUUCUUGUGAUUAAUGACUAAUUUUCUAAUAUGUAUCACAAAAAUUCUGUCAUGUUAGCCCAUUUUUCUAAUAGUGAAUGCAGGACCUACAUUAACAAAAAUGACAAUUUGAAAAGCCAUUUGCAUCUCGAGAAGAAAGAGCGUUAAUCUUUGAAGGAGAGAAAUCCUACCAAGGGAUGUGACUACAUUGAAGACCCAAGUUUGACUACAGAAAUUUGCAAUGCAAGUACAUUGCAAAUGGUCAAAGAGGGAUGAAGAGAAGGAGUUGGACCGCCAGCAUGAAAUCAGAGACUCCAACCAAAUAUUGAACCAACCCCUAUUAAAGGCAUUUUCAACAACUAGAAUGAUAGCAAAUAAAUAAAUUUUUAAUUAAAUUAUUAAUUAAUAGUACAAUAACUCAAAAUUGAAAAUAUGUUUUCUUUGAUUAAUUUAAAAAAAAUUCAAACUCUAAAAUUAGACAUCCACAUCUAUUCCAUCAAUCCGUUAUCUAAUUAGCUAACUAGGUACUAUUUUAGUUAGUUUAGAAACUGUACUGUUUGAUCAUUAGCAUCGUAAACUUGAUGAAAUCGUAAUAACUACGUGGAAGUAUUGAAAUUAGGAACUUAUUUUAGGAUAAGAACAUUCAAGUCUUUUUGACAAUUUAAAUAAAAAAUUAUGUUUUUGGCCAAUAAUUACUAUAAUAUGGAAAUCUGAUAGCUAGUGCAACAAAUAGGGAUAACUCGUUCUACCCUUUUCUUUUACUUUAAUCCUCCUUAAUUACACGAGGAAGAGUAGAGAGUUCAAGAAAAUGCAGAGACAUCGGACAAAUUAGAAAUCUAAUCCUAAAUGCACUGAUGGAGUAGAAGAUCUCAUUCAGCAUGCCGUGAAGGAAAAGUUAAGUGAACUGGUGGUAGUGGGGAAAGGAGAAAAAAGAAGCAGAUCUAUUCCAUGAGCCUUUGCCACGUCCUAGUCAUUCAGACAAUACAAAUGCAAUCAACGCAUGACUUUUGACUCCAAGUUAGCAAUAUUAACAUCCAUUAUAAUGAUAUGGCGAAUUCAACUUUAGUUGGCUUGAACUAAGAAAGAAUUUUCUGACACGACAUAUGAUUGAUACUCGAAGACUUCUAAUUCUAGUCUUGAGUCUUUAUCCGCCGGCCUUGAUCGUCUGGAUAAUGAUUUAUGACGACUUAUAGGGAAUCCGACACUAUAAAAUGAAGUAUUUUUAAUUGAUCUAAAUUAAAAAAUCACGCCAAUUUUAGUGAAUCCAAAUUUCAUUAAUUUUUCUGGUGUUUGUGUCUGAUUAACACCUAAUUUUAACUUCUAGAAUGAUUUUGCAUGAAAUUAUGGAAUUUUGGGUUGUUAACGUGAGAUAUUUGUUACAUUUUAGGUGCACUAAUUAGAGCCCAUCUCAGAAACCAUCAGCUAAAGCUCAUUACAAAUUGGCGCAUUGGCAGAUCGGCUAAGAAAUCUAAAGGAGUAAAACUCGAAUUCUUGGCGUGAUUUUUUAAUCACAAGGUACAUGUGCUCAUCACUCAACCAACGAGUGCGUAGUUUACAAAGAAGAGUGACAGUGAUAAUGUUGCUAGUUUGGAGAUAAUAUCAACAUGCCGUGGGGAGGAAAAUUUUUGAGUUGUAGUGAAAAGUCAUCAGCCAAUGACAUAUACUCGAGUAUGCAGAAUACUCAACUGGCCGUGAAGGGAAAUACAAGAGGGGAAAGGAGAAAAAAAAAAGAAGCAAAUUAAUUCAGAAAAUGAAAUUAUAGAAAAUGAAAGGAAAUAUAAACACAGGUCACCGCCUUGGCCGUACAGCAGUAAGACUAACUUUUGUUGACUUAAAAAAAUAAAAAAAGAGUCCAAUGACUAAAAUGUUUGAAUUGCUGCAAUUUCCCUAAAAAAGCAAACCAAGAUCCUUAAAUUUCUUCACAUCUACAAAGUUAAACAAAUUUUAUUUUUAAGAAAACUAUGGGUUUAUCCUCCAUAUGUUUAUUCACAAUAUUCAUACGGUUAGUUUUUCCCUUCUUUUUCUUUAAUUUUACAAUUAAAAUUGAAAUAUUAUUAAACUCAAAAUUCUACCUGCUGUACCGUACAUCCGCCUUGGCCGUACAGCAGAUCAUCAACCUUUCCAGGUUAUCAUACUUGAACCUCUCUGGAACUUCUUUAUCUGGCCAAAUACCAUCAGAAAUUCUAAAGCUCUCCAAUUUGGUGUCCCUUGAUUUAUCACUAAAUGAUGUUCCUGGUGGUAGACUUGAACUCCAGAAGCCUAGUUUCGUAAAUUUAGUGGAGAAGUUAGGCAAUCUAAAAACACUUGACCUUGGUGAUGUUUCUAUUCAGUCAACGAUACCUCAUAACAUCGCAAAUCUAUCUUCUUCGACGAUUAUUUCUCUCCGAAACUGUGAAUUGCAAGGUAAUUAAAUUUUAUAUAUUUUCUCCUUAAUUAAUAUACAUGCAAUGUUAAAUUCAUUAGUAAAAACUAUUAUUAUUUUUAAUUUUCUACUUAAGCAAUGUGUUCUUUUUUCUUUUUUAACAAAUUUCAGGAAGAAUUUCAUCCUCACUCGGUAAUCUAUCCAAGCUCCUUCAUUUAGACCUUUCACUAAAUGAAUUACAGGGUGAGCUGCCUGUUUCCGUUGGUAAUCUUCGUUCAUUGGAAGAACUUGAUCUCUCUGCAAAUUUUUUGUCGAGUGAGUGGCCUAUUUCCAUUGGAAAUCUUAGUUCUUUGAAAGAACUUGACUUUCACAAAAUAGAUAUUUUUGGUGAAUUGCCUAUUUCCAUGGGAAAUCUUGGUUCUUUGAAAGAACUUGACCUUUCACAAAAUAGAUUUUUUGGUGAAUUGCCUAUUUCCAUGGGAAAUCUUGGUUCUUUGAAAGUUCUUUGGAAAAACUUGACCUUUCAUUCAAUAAUUUUUCGGUUGAGUUUCCAUGGUCCACUGAAAAUUUUAGUUCUUUGAAGUUAUUGCUUUUCUUCCUUGACCUUGCUCAAAAUUCUUAUCGAGGAACGAUAGACUUAGAUGUUUUACUUACUAGCUGGAAAAAUUUGGAAUUUUUAGCUCUCUCAUUAAAUAGGUUGUCAGUGCUCACCAAAGCCACUUCUAAUACCACUUCACAGAAACUUAAGUAUAUAGGACUGCGUUCUUGCAAUCUUACUAAAUUUCCAAAUUUCUUGCAAAACCAAUAUCAUUUGCUGGUCCUGGACCUUUCUGACAAUAGAAUUCAAGGAAAAGUACCUAAAUGGUUGUUAGACCCCAAUAUGCAGAAUCUCAAUGCCUUGAACAUUUCGCAUAACUUUUUAACUGGGUUUGAUCAGCAUCUUGUUGUUCUUCCAGCGAAUAAAGGUGAUUUGCUGACUUUUGAUCUUAGCUCUAAUAAUUUACAAGGACCACUCCCAGUUCCACCCCCCGGAACCAUUCACUAUCUAGCUUCAAACAAUAGCUUAACUGGGGAAAUUCCAUCGUGGAUAUGCAAUUUGAAUAUUCUUGAAAGCCUUGUUUUGUCUCACAAUAACUUAAGUGGAUUGCUUCCUCAGUGUUUAGGCAAUUCUAGUGAUGAACUUUCAGUGCUCGACUUGCAGGGGAACAACUUCUUUGGGACCAUCCCAAAUACUUUCAUUAAAGAAAGUAGAUUAGGCGUGAUUGAUUUAAGCCAUAAUAUAUUUUAAGGAAGAAUUCCAAGAUCAUUGAUCAACUGUUCAAAGUUGGAAUUUCUUGGUCUUGGGAACAACCAGAUUAGUGACACUUUUCCCUCUUGGUUAGGAACUCUUCCAAACUUGAAUGUUCUCAUCCUACGAUCUAACAUAUUUUAUGGCAUUAUAAAAGAACCCAGAACUGAUUGUGGAUUUUCUAAACUCCGCAUCAUUGACCUAUCUAACAACAUAUUUAUUGGAACGCUUCCAUUAAAGAGUUUCUUGUGUUGGAAUGCCAUGAAAAUUGUCAAUACAAGUGAUGCAGCGGAAUUUUAAUGUUCAAAAUAUUCUGUUGAUUCUAGAGAAUACCGGAACAAAAGAACAACUAAAUUCACGUUGAUUCAAAAGAAUACCGCGAAUUUAGGGGUUAAGACUCGUUGAUUCUGCAGAAUACCGAGAAUUAACUGUUCAAAUACUCACAAAGAGAUUUGAAAAUUGAAAUAUUAUUAAACUCAAAAUUCUACCAUCAAAGACUACAAGAGGGAGCUAUUUAUAGUAGUAGUAAUUAUCCUAAUUCAUGAAGUAAAAACAAAAUCCUAAAUUGAAAGGGAAACAAAAUUCUAAAUUAGAAAGGAAUUUAAAAGUCUUAAACUUUAGUUAAUAAGGAAACUAAUCCUAGUAUAAUAUGGAUUCCUACUCUUCAUCAACAAGUGAGCUAAGAUAUCUGCAAGAUGUGCUUUCUCCGUAUGGACAAACGGCCAAUGAUAUACUUAGCACUUACGACUACUUAAUGACAAUGAACAUCAAAAGGGCGAAUGAUGACAUAUAACAAGAUUCCGGAUAUCCUAGCGGGCAUUAUUCUCUCAAACAAUAGUUUUGAUUCGGUGAUUCCAGCAUCGAUUGCGAAUUUAAAGGGACUUCAAGUUCUAAAUCUCCAGAACAAUAGUCUCCAAGGCCAUAUUCCGUCAUGUUUGGGCAAUCUACCAAAUUUGGAAUCAUUGGAUCUCUCAAACAAUAAGUUUUCAGGACAGAUUCCUCAACAACUAGUUGAGCUCACAUUUCUCGAAUUCUUCAAUGUCUCGGACAAUCACCUUACAGGACUGAUACCACCAGGAAAGCAAUUUGCUACAUUUGACAAUACUUCUUUCGACAGCAACUCAGGAUUGUGUGGAAGGCCUUUGUCCAAAGGAUGUGAGAGUGAUGUAGCUCCAGCAAAUGAAGAUCAUACUAAGGGCUCAGAGGAGUCUCUAUUUUCGGGCACAUCUGAUUGGAAAAUCAUUCUGAUUGGCUACGCGGGCGGACUUGUGGCAGGAUUGGUUGUCGGGUUCAACUUUAGCACAGGAAUUAUCGGAUGGAUUCUGGAGAAGUUGGGAACGCAGCAAAAGGCAACAAGGAGGAGGAGGAGACGUAGAAACUGAAUGCAAUUAUAAUGUUAUUGUGAUUUUCGUUUCUAAUUCUGUCAUUGUAAUGUUGGCGGUUUUUUUUUUUAUAGGAUCCUUACAUUUCUCCUCAAAAAAUAAAAAUAUAAGCUGGUUAUUAUAUAUUAAAAACUGGUUUCUGGUUUUGUCGCUUUUCAAAUUUAAAUCACUACUAGGUAUGAAUAAAAAAAUAAUAGUGUUUGGUAAUUAACAUAUUAUUAAAUGAUAAUUGUGAGGGAUUAGGUUCUACUUCUACCAUUAAAAAAAUUAUAUUAAUAAUAAUUUUGACAACAAAAGUAAAGGUAACAAAGGUUUUUAUGCAACAACUAUGGGUUCGAAUCAUCUUUUAACUUUGGUUGACUUAAAAUGGUGCCCCUGCAUCUGUCCUUCGUCAUUCCUAUCUCAAGAACAAUUUUAAUACAUCUGUUUUCCCACUAAUCUUUGCUGUAUAUAAUUGCUGAUGUGUUUACUUUCAAUACUAUUUAACACAAAACUCUCUUUUAAGUUUCAGUGCCAAAGCUUUAAAGAUGUUAAUAUAUGGGUUUGUGAGUAAUGUUUCAUUGGCUUAUUUUAGAAAUCUGACGAUUUGAUUAUUGUUUCAUGGUUAGAGCUUAGAGAAGGCAUUUGCCCCCAUUUGCUCAUUUGAUUCAGAUUCAAGUUUACUGUAAUUAUAGGUUUCAAUUUUGAUUAUAAAUUAACACUGGGUCCUAGUUUUGGCCAUAGGUGUUACAAUUAAUUGCAAUUACUUUGUAGUCCAGUUGGAUAAAUAUCUCACUACUAGAAUAAUGGGCCAACAUGACAGAAUUUUUGUGAAAGAUAUUAGAAAAUUAGUCAUUUAUCACAAGAAUAUGAUAGACACGUGACAGAAUUUUCAUAUAUCGUAAAGGCAUGACAGAUUUGUGAUAGAGUUUUUAUAUAUCAUAUAAAUAUGAUAGCAUAUUAAUAUUUAAUAAAAUGGUGAGUUUAGUACAGAUCAAUUUGGGCAUGAAACGGCACCGAGGAUUGAUUUUUCAUAAUUAAAAAAAUUUGAAAAACAAAAGUAUUUAUUUAACUUCUUAACGUUGUCGUUUACUAUAAACUACAAGAAAAUUCUAAGUGUUAAUAAACACUUCAGCUCCUUUGACUUCAUCACUCCAUCAGCAAGGGCUGAAAAACCUAAGCAUUGAAACCCCUCAAAAUCCAGAAUUAACAAGCCCUACUUUAAUCUACAAAUUGGUUUUGAAAUCCAUUGUAUAGAAACCAAAAUCAUUGUACGUGCUAUUGAAGCAACCACUUCAUUAUAAAUUUUUAGGCACAAGAUCACCAUAUAUGCUCAUUGUUGCGCCUUCGAACAACACGUUCCCUUUUGAAGCCGUCGUUGUCACUAUUUCUUUGCAUUGUUUAAUUGGCGGUGGAGAAGCCAUCCUUGUAAUUGCUGAAUCCUUAGCUUUAUUGUCAAUUAGCUUUUUUAUUUUUUUAUUUUGAAUAAAUUAGUUGGGCAUUAUAAAAUUAAUUGUCAGUUUUAUUGUUAUCUCCCUUAUUUGUUCAUAAUUUAUGCCUCUUUUUUGGGGAUUUCUAUAAUGAAUGGUUUACCUUUAUUAUUAAUUUUUUUAAUUCUUGUUUGUUUCUUUUGUUAUUUUUUAAUUUUUUUUUUUAAUUCAAGAAGCUUAUACUUUGUCCUUUUAUUAAACCUAGAAAUUGCUCAAUCAUUUAAUUUAGUAUGCCCUCUUUUAAAAAUUUUUUUUUUUCUGAAUUGCAGGAUUUCACUGCUUUGUUUCCUUUCAAAUUCGAUUUCUAACAUCAGGUUUGUUCAAUUCUUUACUUGCCUUUCCAUUCAAUGUUUAAAAAAUGCUUGCUGGCAAUGGUUUGUCUGAAGGUUGUUAUAUUUUGUAAUUUUUCAGUCAAAGCUUGCAUGUGUGUGAACUGAUUUUGCUUGAUGAUAUAGCACUUUUCAUUGGCUGGUGUUUUUUAUUGGGAAGGAUCCGAAACUGAGGUCCAAUGGUGUUGACAUAUAUUUUAAUGAUUGUGAUUUAGACUUGGUAAUUGAUAAUACUUUCUAGUGUAUUUUAUUGAGUUGAAAAGUGAGGCCCCCUUUUUCAAUUGUCUUUUUAAUGUUUGAAAGAAAUGGUACCAUGUGGGGGCAAGUUUGGUCAUGUGGACCAAGCAAUGUUUAGUUGCUUAUAUAUAUAUAUGUAUAUAUAUAUAGUCUGGUGGUCCAUGAAAUACUGGAUUGUUAGAUUUUUUUUAAAAAUAAAUGUUAGAUAUAUGUGGGCUAAAUUAUUUACGAUAUUAUUAGCUGGGUAUUGUUAGUUACAGGUUUUGGCAAACGAUGACAACACGUUGGUGAAGUUAUAUUUGUUGCACAUGAUGACAAGCUUUUGUUUUUAAUUUAUUUAUUUCAUUAAUUUAUAAACUGAAUAUUAAUAUUGUUUUGUUGCUUAAUUUAUUGAUAAUGGAAACCGUUUAUCAUUGCUGCCCAUUACUACAAUAUGUUGAAAUUUGUCUCGAUUAUAUGUCAUGUGCUAAACAAAAAAUGGAUAAAUCUUGCCUUAAAUAUGAUAUGUUGUUUGAUAAGUAUGUGGCUGAUGUGAAAAAAAUUAUUAAGAUUGUAGUUAAAAGACUAGGAUUCUUUCCAAAAAAGAGUUUCUUUCCUCUUAUAAUUCUUAUAAACCUAAAUAGAAAUAAAUAUGAUAUGCUUGCACUCAUUCUUAGUUAUAAACAUUCCAUAAAUAUUAUGAUCAUUUUAAUGGAACUUAUUUUAGGAUGAGAACAUUCAAGUCUUUUUGACAAUUUAAAUAAAAAAUUAUGUUUUUGGCCAAUAAUUACUAUAAUAUGGAAAUCUGAUAGCUAGUGCAACAAAUAGGGAUAACUGGUUCUACCCUUUUCUUUUACUUUAAUCCUCCUUAAUUACACGAGGAAGAGUAGAGAGUUCAAGAAAAUGCAGAGACAUCGGACAAAUUAGAAAUCUAAUCCUAAAUGCACUGAUGGAGUAGAAGAUCUCAUUCAGCAUGCCGUGAAGGAAAAGUUAAGUGAACUGGUGGUAGUGGGGAAAAGAGUAAAAAGAAGCAGAUUUAUUCCAUGAGCCUUUGCCACGACCUAGUCAUACAGACAAUACAAAUGCAAUCAACGCAUGACUUUGACUCCAAAUUAGCAAUAUUAACAUCCAUUAUAAUGAUAUGGCGAAUUCAACUUUAGUUGGCUUAGAACGGCGUUCAUAUUUACAUCUCUCCUUCAUCAUUCUUGUCUAUGAAACUAAGAAAUAAUUUUCUUGACUCAGGUUCGAUCUGCACUUGACGUGUGGGCGCCUUUAUCACUACCAAAGCAACUAGCACGAGAAAAUUUCUCUCUCAACAAUAGAGAGAAAAAUCUUUUUCUCUCAUCUGUAUAAAGUGGCUGCUCUCUCUUUCUUUAGAGAAAAUAAGUCUUUUUAUAUCUCCCUUUUGUGAAAACCCUAGGCUCCAAAUUAUCAAAAUCAAAACUCACGUUACUUGCUUUUUCUAUAGGGGACCCACCUUGUAAAAUAACAUAAGGCCCCUUACACACAAGCUAAUUAAAUGGAGCCUCCCACUAAAUGAUAUAUUUAGGCUUUUGACCCAAAUAGCUAGUUAUCUUGCUUAUUAAUCCAGUAGUGGUGCAGUCAAUUAAAUGAGCUAACCCGGGGAUCAUUUGGGAACAUACACUAAUGGCUAUAACAAUUAGGCCUGUAAUUAAACUAGCCUAAUUAUUUAAUUCCAAAUCUACUCCACUAAAAGAUUGGAAUUGACUUCCAUAAUUGUAUGCUCGAAUAAUAAUUCGUCCCAAGCCACAUUGAUUUCUUUACUGCACAAUCCUUUGUACCACAUCAUUAAUUAAAUCGAUAUCUCAACUGUCCAAUCAAUUUAAUUACAUCUUGUUCCUUGAUACUUACUGGUUUUCUCUAAUGAUCAUUUUCAACAUACUAAAUAGUUGACACACUCUGGCCAGAGAAUUCUAUGAUCAAGUACCGAAAACCCAUCAAGAGAUGUGUUGUACAAAUUCUAUAUUAUUAAUCCAUAACUCCAAUACUCAUAAUUGCUCCCACCAAGAUACCGAGUAAUCUUGACCACAANNNNNNNNNNNNNNNNNNNNNNNNNNNNNNNNNNNNNNNNNNNNNNNNNNNNNNNNNNNNNNNNNNNNNNNNNNNNNNNNNNNNNNNNNNNNNNNNNNNNNNNNNNNNNNNNNNNNNNNNNNNNNNNNNNNNNNNNNNNNNNNNNNNNNNNNNNNNNNNNNNNNNNNNNNNNNNNNNNNNNNNNNNNNNNNNNNNNNNNNNNNNNNNNNNNNNNNNNNNNNNNNNNNNNNNNNNNNNNNNNNNNNNNNNNNNNNNNNNNNNNNNNNNNNNNNNNNNNNNNNNNNNNNNAAAUCAAUGCCUAUGAAAUUUAAUAAGUCUGAUAGUUAUUACAAAGUUAAUUAAAUCUCAUAUGUGAUCUUGUUCAAUGUAGUCGUACUACAUUAAUAAAUUCAUACAUGAUUAAGACAAAUCAUUUAAUGAAUUUAUUACAGUCUAUACCUAAAUAAAGUGCCCAACUUUGUUUAUCAACUGCGAACUAAAUUUAUUUAAUCAUAAGAUAACUUAUAUUUAUGUCUUCUGUGAAUCCACAUGGUGAUCACAUAAAUACAUAUAAUAUGAUUAAAUGGACUUUGAUCAAAAUAUUAAUGCAAUUAAGAUAUUUGAAUAAAAUACCUCAUUAAUUUUAUUAAUCAGAAAAAAUGUUUAUUACAAUUAAAUAAACACAUAUGCUUUUAUAGGCAAUCAUCCCACGUUUUCUGAGUAUUCUUCAUGCCCCUCAUUUUCGGGUGAUGACAGACCUUCAUGGGUCUCCAACCGCCGAAUCGUGGGUAAACGUGGAAUGUCAUGUUCUCCCCAGCGGUUUGGGGUAUGGAGAAACUGUCGUGAGUUCUUGAGAUCGUGUCCUCUUUCUUUGGGUGAUGAUUAUCUGGUCGGUAUGUACCUCUGGUCAGUACUCGUCUCUAGUUGGCAUAUGCUCCGUACAGGAUAUAUUACCAAGACACUGCUCGUGCCAUUCAGCUGGGGAGAUUCGUUCCGGGGUGAGGGAUGAGGAGAUAGUUGAGCUGGUACUUUUCAUUACUCAACACACAUACUUGUACCGUGACAAGAAGUAGAGCUGCAACCAGAAUGCAUUUUCAGAAGCGACCGCUUAUGGUGUUGGAGAUAUCUUUCUCUGUGGUCCGGUUGCUUGUUACGCUCAUUUAUUUUAUUUUGGCAGAAUUGGGAGUCAAGAACAAUUUUAAUACAUCUGUUUUCCCACUAAUCUUUGCUAUAUAUAAUUGUUGUUGUGUUUACUUUCAAUACUAUUUAACACAAAACUCUCUUUUAAGUUUCAGUGCCAAAGCUUUAAAGAUGUUAAUAGAUGGGUUUGUGAGUAAUGUUUCAUUGGCUUAUUUUAGAAGUCUGACGAUUUGAUUAUUGUUUCAUGGUUAGAGCCUAGAGAUGGCAUUUGCCCGCAUUUGCCCAUUUGAUUCAGAUUCAAGUUGACUGUAAUUAUAGGUUUCAAUUUUGAUUAUAGAAUAACACUGGGUCCAAGUUUUGGCCAUAGGUGUUACAAUUAAUUUCAAUUACUUUGUAGUCUAGUUGGAUAAAUAUCUCACUCUAGAAUAAUGGGCUAACAUGACAGAAUUUUUGUGAUAGAUAUUAGAAAAUUAGUCAUUUAUCAUAAGAAUAUGCUAGACACGUGACAUAAUUUUCAUACAUCAUAAAGGCAUGACAAAUUUGUGAUAGUUUUUAUACAUCAUAUAAAUAUGAUAGCAUAUUAAUAUUUAAUGAAACGGUGAGUUUAGGAUUGAUCAAUUUGGGCAUGAAACGGCACUGUGUGUUGAUUUUUCAUAAUUUAAAAAAUUUUAAAAAUAAAAAUAUUUUUUAACUUCUAAACACUGUCGUUUACUAUAGACUUUAAACUACAAGAAAAUUCUAAUUUUUAAUAAACACUUCAGUUCCUUUGACUUCAUCACUCCAUCGGGGCUGAGAAACCUAAGCAUUGAAACCCCUCAAAAUCCAUAAUUAACAAGCCCUACUUUAAUCUACAAAUUGGUUUUGAAAUCCAUUGCAUGGAAACCAAAAUCAUCGUAUAUGCCAUUGAAGCAACCACUUCAUUAUAAAUUUUUAGGCCAAAAAUCACCAUAUAUGCUCAUUGUUGCGCCUUCGAACAACACGUUCGCUAUUGAAGCCGUCGUUGUUACUAUUUCUUUUCAUUGUUUAAUUGGCGGUGGAGAAGCCAUCCUUGUAAUUGCUGAAUCCUUAGGUCUAUUGUCAAUUAGCUUUUUAUUUUUUAUUUUGAAUAAAUUAGUUGGGCAUUAUAAAAUUAAUUGUCAGUUUUGUUGUUAUCUCCCUUAUUUGUUUUUAUGUGUCAUGUUUAGCAUGACAUAUUAUCUAUCACGAUUCUGUCAUUGGGUAUCUUGAUGAGAAAUUUUCACCCAUGACUAAUAUCUAUCAUAAACAUUUCCCAUUCAUGACUUUUGUCUAUCGCAUAAACAUGACAUAUUUAAUUGGAAUAAUAAAAUUAUUUUUAUUAAAUCUAAAAGGAAUAACUGAAAUUUUAAAUAAAUAUUAAAAUAUUUAAAGUGAUAAAUAUUUAAUUUGGCGCAAUUAUUUUUAAUUUUUCAAAAUAUUUGGGCGGGAAUUAUUAAAAAUUAUUUUAAAAUCAUUUUGGCACAUUUCAAUAAUAUAUCAAUUAAUUCUAAAAAAUAAAUAAAUAAUCCAAAAAUAAUUCUAUAAUUGACAUCCAAAUCAGCAUCUAUAAUUUAAUCAUUACAACCAAACAAUUCAAGUAAACAAACAUUUGUACAAUUUGGUAUACAAUCUUUCCCAUAAAAAAUAAACACCAAACCCAAUGUCAGAAAAUAUUCCCACUUUUAAAUGAAUCUUCAUGUCUUCAACAUCGACCAAGCAAAGUCCAACAAACUGCCGAUCGUAUUGGCAUGCUUAUGUUUAAGUUCCAGUUGCUGCAAGAUGAAUUGAAGCAAUUUUGAUCCCUGCGAAGCAAUCUUUGAGUACAAGCACUACGCUAUUGGAAAUUUUGGGAAGAAAAAUGCAUAGUAGAGAAUACACAUGAACUCAAAACAAUGUUAUUGCAAUGACUAACAUUGCAAAGAAGAUUCAUCAUCCAAAAUCAGUCAAAUUAACCAAUUAUUAUUUACCAAAGAGAACUCAAUCAAUUUGAAUUGUCAGUGAUAAAUUCAUCAUUCAAAAUCAGCCAAAUUAACCUCCAACUUCGAUUUCAAAGAACCCAAAUUUUAGUUAGGUCAAAACCCAAGGCAUUGAGAGAUCAAUUUCCAUUUUUAACUAUGCAUAAUAAAUAGAAAAAGCCAAUAAAUCAAGGAAUAAUAAGGAGCAACGGAUUUAAUUUUCAAAAUCAAACAAGUUAUUUUCGUCUUGAGCACCAAGCAGGGAGUGCCUAGCUUCUCAAACUUUCUUCUUCGUUUCUUUCGGCUGGGUUCUGUCUUCCAAUGGCUUUCAGAGCUGCUCUGCUUCUGUUGGCCAGGAACUUAUGGCAACAGAGAGAAGUGUGGCAAGUGCUACACUGAUAUGACUACUCGGGGCAAUAAACCCAAGUGCCCCUAAGUUAUAAGUAUUAGCAUCUGUUGAAAUUUUAUGUUAGCUUAAGUUGACCAGCAAUAAGUGUUAAAGAGUAAAUGUUUUUCUAGUGACUUUCUGUGUCACUGCAAGAUUGUGCAUGUAGUGUGUUAAGCCAUGGCUGAUCUACUUCUGUUAGUUUCUUGCUGAAAUUUCCCUUGUUAAUCCUAGACAAUCAUAUAUAAAGUAGUGUAUUUUCAGUUUCCAAAAAAAAAAAAAAAGAAGUUAUUUUCGUCUUUACCUUCUUCACCAGAGCAACGAUGAGCGGUGGAUUUCUUCAAAACUAAAACGAUUUUGGGAAAUUAAAUAGCCAAGUUUCAACAUUACCUUCUAGAAAACUUCAAAAUAAUUCGGGAGUUUCUUGUCAUUGUGAUUAAUUAGAGAACUUUUCCCUUUUUUAUGCAAAAAGCAAGAUAGAAUCAACAAUAAAAGAACACAAAUGCAAAAUAAAGAUUUGUUACCUGGGCCAAUAAAGAGUAUGCAAGAGGGCACAACCCAUUAACACCAAUGUAACUUGGAGGUGAAGAAGGAAAUGGAGUAAAUUGACCACCCACUUCAAGCUCCCCAGUCACCCUUCCCACGGUUGCACCAGACCUCUCUCAACCACCACCUCAGUUUUACUCCUCACAACAACCCCUUCAAAAUCCGACCGCCACCACUGCCCAGAAGUCGCGGGAGUUGCUGCGACCAGCCAUCGAGUUUGUAGAACCCCUUUUCUAUAGUGGUCAACACUACCAUUUUUUUUUUCCAUCUAGAUAAACCACAACUAAGACAUUCAAAGAGCUCUUCAUACUCUUUUCUAUAGAAUAAAUAAAGUAGUGAAUAAUUUAAACCCAACAACAAAGCCAUAGGUAUAAAAUACUGAAGAAACAAACAAACUCAUUGCGGAGAACAAUCAAAUAAGCAUAUGGGUUAUAUACAGUAAUAGGAAAAAAUGUUACCUGGCUCGUAAAGCACGAAAAAACUAGAUCGAUGAAUGAGGAAUUAAGCGAAGAAAUCGCAUCUGUUAUAUAAAAAGGAUAAGGCAAAGAUAAUCAAAACAAAGUGUUUACCCAAAGAUUCACGCUACAAGAUAGAUAAUACUGUUAAUAAAAAAAAUUAGAGAACAUGAAGCUUGAUAAUACCAAAAAUUCCCCAAAUGAGCAUUAGGGUUACCUUGAGAAUUGACUGAAUUUUGUUUGCUUGGCUGGUGCUUUUUAUGCUACGAUGCCAGUGACGUACGGUUUCAAAACGAACAGACAAUGGUUUAAUUAGGAUAAUUUGAAACAGAGUGAAAAAGAUAGACGGUAUUGGGGGCCAAAGCAAAACUGAAGAUGUUGAUAGCUUAAAAGGAAGGAGACUGAUAACUAAACAAGAAGAAUAAUCAAGUAUGACAGCACAACACUGGUAGAAGAAUGACAAGAAUGAGUGGUUUUAGACAAAGGGUUUGUGAACAGCAUGAAGGAACAAGAGAAAUAGCACUUAGGGAUUUGGGUUUCUAAGUGUUGUCAAUGUUUAACACUUAGAAAGAAAAAAAGAAAGAAAGUUGAAAGUACCAAAAUGGUACAAUUUUGCCUGCUGUACGGCCAAGGCGGAUGUACGGUACAGCAGCAUGAUCAGUAAGAUCCGCCGGAUUUUCAACCCACUACCAUCUGUGUUUUACUCCUCACAACAACCCCUUCAAAAUCCGACCGCCACCACUGCCCAGAAGUCGCGGGAGUUGCUGCGACCAGCCAUCGAGUUUGUACGGGUCAUGGAUCUCAAUUCGCGGCAUCCCGCCACGCGUUGGCUCUACCACCGCUUCCAUGGGUCUUCGCAUGGCCUGAGGUUUUUCCAAUCGAAUAAUGACAGCUGAUUUAAGUGGGAGGUUGAGUGAUAUGAGUUGAGUGAUAUGAGUUGAGUGAGAGGCUGAGGUGAUGGCGGCUGUGAAUGUUUCGUUUUCUUUGGCUGAAACUGAGUUAGGGCUGUGUUGUUAGUAAGGGUUAGGGCUGUUUAUUCGUGUGAAAAGAAAACAUACGAAACACUUAAUUUUUCUGAGUGUUGAAAGUUUGGAUCUUUUAAACUAUAACGCUUAAACGACAUCGUUUAACCUUUUUUUUUAAUAAUUAUAAAGUAAAAAUUUUUUGUUAAUGGCAUUUUGGUAAAAUAAAUCAAUUUAAAUACGAUGUCGUUUGAACCCGUGAUUGAUGCCUAUCAAGUUUUAUAAAUGAUUAAAAAAAUAAAAACAGAACAUGACAUGUUUUUAUCAAUAAUAAAUGACAUAAAUAAAUGAGUCACGAAUAUGUCAUAACAGUUUGACAAAAAGAUAUUAGUCACGAAAAUAUCAUUCUUUGAUGAUACUUUCGUGACAAUUCGAUAUGUAUCAUAAAUUUUCUAUCAUAAAAACGCGUUUUUUUAGUAGUGCCUACUUUAAUCUAAAAAUUGGUUUUGAAAUCCAUUGCAUGGAAACCAAAAUCAUCGUAUAUGCUAUUGAAGCAACCACUUCAUUAUAAAAUUUUAAGCACAAAAUCACCAUAUAUGCUCAUUGUUGCGCCUUCGAACAACACGUUCGCUAUUGAAGCCGUCGUUGUCGCUAUUUCUUUGCAUUGUUUAAUUGGCGGUGGAGAAGCCAUUCUUGUAAUUGCUGAAUCCUUAGGUUUAUUGUCAAUUAGCUUUUUUAUUUUUUAUUUUGAAUAAAUUAGUUGAGCUUUAUAAAAUUAAUUUUCAGUUUUGUUGUUAUCUCCCUUAUUUCUUCAUACUUUAUGCCCUGUUUUUGGGAUUUCUAUCAUGAAUGGUUUAUCUUUAUUAUUUAUUUUUUUAAUUCUUGUUUGUUUCAGUUGUUAUUUUUUUAUUUUUUUAAUUCAAGAAGCUUAUACUUUGUCCUUUUAUUAAAUCUUGAAAUUGCUCAAUCAUUUAAUUUAAUAUGUCCUUUUUUUUAUUUUUUUCUGAAUUGCGGGAUUUCACUGCUUUGUUCCCUUUCAAAUUCGAUUUCUAGCAUCAGGUUUGUUCAAUUCUUUACUUGCCUUUCCAUUCAAUGUUUAAACAAUGCUUGCUGGCAAUGGUUUGUCUGAAUUUUGUUAUAUUUUGUAAUUUUUUAGUCACAACUUGCAUUUGUUUUAACUGAUUUUGCUUGAUGAUAUAUCACUUUUCAUUGACUAGUGUUUUUUAUUGGGAUGGAUCCAAAACUGAGGUCCAAUGGUGUUGACGUUUCUUUUUGAGUUAUGCUAUUUAGCCAUAAGGAAGAAAGAGGGACGACAGAAAAGGCAGAAUUUGCUGCCGAUUCACGCGUCCUUCUCACUCUUCCCCAUGGUCCACAAAUACAUUAAAAUAAUGGUUAAAAAAUGGCGCAAAAAUAAUGGUCAAUGAAAUAAGCAAUGGCCCGCAAUAAAGUUUAGAAAUGGAGGCCUGUGAUCUACUCCUGCAGUUGUUCUACAGCUUUAAAAAUAAUGCGGCCAUUUCCUUUCUCCAAGCGGCAGAACUUCGACUUCGAUAGCCAAAUAAAAUAAAAUCAUUGGCUUGCUAUUUAAAAGAUGAGAAAUCUGCAUUCGGUGCCGUCGAGAUUUGAGUUUGGUGCCGACAACCACCACGUCAACAGAGGCAGCUUUGCAGUUGAUACAUAUAAGUGGCACAAAUUGGCCAUUGACCAUUGAGAAGGCAUGGAAUGGAAAUUGUUCGGGUUUCUUUGCAGCUGCGGAAUUCAGCAUUUGGACUCCAUUUGAGAGAACAAAAAUCUACAACACUGACAAUAAGACACUCGGAUCUUUUUCCAUCCUCAUCGGUUCUCUCCCUAAUUGCUACAACUUGCACUAUGACUUGAUGAAUGAAUAAAAAUUUGCUGAUACAAUAUCGUCCUGUAACUAUUUAUGUCAACAGCAGGGCAUCUACUAGACAUGUCCAGAAAAUCUUCUUUAACUAUAUAUCAGAACCUAUUUAACUAUCAGAACCACAUCAACGGCAGCACUGUUGACUGCAAGGUUGUGGCUUUUGUUUCAUUUUUUUUUUUAAGAAAUUGUUGAAAAUGACCGGUUUUGUGCUGCUGCGUGGUGAGGGAGAACGAAGCUGAGACCGACCUAGUGUUGAAACGGGAGAGAGACAUGGAGAAUGUUGGGAGAGAGAGAUCGAGAAUCUUGCUGCUUGGUGAGGGAGACGCGUGAGUUUUUUGCUGGAUUUUUGCGUCCGUGCGUGUGGUGUUUGCACGUACGAACAGGUGGCUUUUAGACCCAAAUUUUUGUGCUCUCCUUUAGUCCUUCAUGUCAAUACCAUUUUCCUUUUUAAAGUGUUAUUUUAAUAUUUUAAACGCCAAAUGGUAAGAGUAAGAAGGACGCGUGAAACGGCAGCUCGUGCUGCCGUUUCCAUCGUCCUUCUCACUCCUUUUUGUUCGUUUAUCAUUUUUCUUUUUUUAAUGAUUGUGAGUUAGAUUUGGUAACUGAUAAUACUUUCUAGUGUAUUUUAUUGAGCUGAAAAGUGAGGCCCCCUUUUUCAAUUGUUUUUUUAUGUUUGAAAGAAAUGGUACCAUAUGGGUGCAAGUUUGGUCAUGUGGAGCAAGGAAUGUUUAGUUGCGUGUAUAUAUAUAUAUAUAUAUAUAUAGUCUUGCGGUCCAUGAAAUGCUGGAUUGUUAGAUUUGUUUUUAAAAAUAAAUGUUAAAUGUAUGUGGGCUAAAUUAUUUAGGAUAUUAUUAGUGGGUAUUGCUAGUUAGAGGUUUUGGUAAACGAUGACAGCACUUUAAUUUAAUAAACCCCGGUCAAGGAAUGGAAUUCACCAUUUUUCGCCAGUUGUUUGUAAGAUUUGUUUGAAUUUUGAGUUGAUAUCAUAUCCAAAUAAUAUUUAUCAUUUUUUUUUUCAAAUGGUCUGGACCACUUUGGAAUUAUGUUUUCAUUUUUUCAAACAAAAAUAAAAUUGAUGUAUUACCCAUAUGAGUUGAUUUAUGAGGAUCAUUAUUUUGAGGAUUGAAAUAAAAUUAUAAAAAUUUGUGGUUUUUCGUGAGGGUGAAAAUGUUGUAUUUUAGUCCUUCUAUUGAUUUUUAGCACUCCAAUGUUUUUUUAAAACAUUUUGAAUCUUUAGGCAAAAUUAAAGUGUCAUAUAUCGUAUAACAAUGGUGACAAGGACUGAAAAUGCAUAUAUUUAUAUUUCACCUAUUUUCUACAACUAAGGCUCGAUUGCAUCUAAGAUUAUUUGGUAGUGGUUAAAUGCGAUGUGUUGUCCAAUUCAUAUAUUUAACAAGAUGAAAUCAAUCUCCAGAAAUAUCAUAACAUAAUAACAUCAAUCAUUAAAAUAAAUCAUGUAAUUAAUUUCAUAAAUUAAAUUGCAUAAGUUUACUAAUUUUUCCUUUUCCUCUUUGGUAUCAAUGUCCUUUCAAUCGCACAACGAAGGGACCAUCCAUUCGUGCUUUGGAAAAAAUGACAAUAAAAUGGCGUGUAUGGCUUUUCAAGUGAAUAAAUGCUCUUGCGUUUUGUGGUGUAAAAGAUUUCAGAAGUACCAAGAGCCAAACUUGGCUCAUCAAUUUGGCGGAACCCACUGGGAGGAAAAAAAAAGGUCGGCGAUCUUGAUCGGCCCUUAUUAACACACGACUAUUCCAACCAAUCAUAUAGCGACGCGUGUGCUGACUUGAUUACGAAAAUCAACCUUUACACCGAGGCCGUUGGAUUUCGUCAUCAAAGUCUGCCACGUUCGUUUUCUUGUUUUUAAAUGAGUUUAGAACGCUUUAAUACAUAUGCAACUUUGGUACGAAGAAUGAGAAAAUGUGCCCACUCUUCCUUGGGAAAUUCUUUUUUUUGGUUUUUGCACUCAAAUUUUAUCGUUUACACCAAUUUUUUAUAAUAGCAUAGAUAAUAUAUCUUUAAGUUAGAAAAUGAGCGUUAUACCAAAUAGCGUCUUGAUGUAUUCAUUCAUUCUUUUUUUUUUCCUUUAAUGGUAAACUUAUAAUUUUGACAAGAAUUAAAGGGAGAUUAAUUGUGGAUGCAAUUAUGCUUCUUAGAAACACUACACUUGUACCUACCAAUGCGAUUAGAGUAGUACACAUUCUGUGGAUGAUACAUUAUUGAAUAUUUUGAAUAUCAAGAUGAGCCAUAAGCAAAUUCAUUAACUAAAUGAAGACGAAAAAUUGUUAUUGCUUCAAACUACAAAUGGAAAUUCACAUGAACAUUUACAAGGUUCAUUACUUAGACCCAUUUUUAGCUUGAGAUUUGAGUUUUAAUGUGAAUUAAUUAGUAUGGAAACUUACGUACAAUCUUCAGUAAAUAAAAAUAUACCUAACAUAUUGCAAGUUGUAAGAUCUCAGAUUCAAACAGCCGAGUCAUGGGUCAACGAAACACUAAUAAUUUUUCAACACUUAUUUUAUUUUAAAUUUUCAACGUUACUGCGUCAAAAAUAUUAUUCAAAGUAUCAACAUCUUAUCGUAUGUUGCCUUGCCCUACGGGUUUAUUAAUAUCGAUGUCUCUUCAUAUUUCCACACCGCAAAUAUAAAUGCAAAGACCCUCAAAUAGCGGCGGUAGCGAUGAAUGGACGAUUUUGAAAAGCAAUUUUCGGAAUUUAAUCAAUUUCCACACAAAUGGGUUAAAGUCAAUGAACCCUAUUUAAUGCGAGUUCUACUAAUAAAUUAAUCCUCACGUUUGUUAUAAACGUAUUUUCGGUGGUGACGAAAUGGUAAAAGUUUAUGACAUCACAUCAAAUAUAAAAAAUAAAUAUUAUUAAGACUAACUUUGGUUGACUUUAAAAAAACAAAAAAGAGUCCAAUGACUUCAAUGUUUGAAUUGCUGCAAUUUGCCUAUAAAAGCAAACCAAGAUCCUUAAAUUUCUUCACAUCUACAAAGUUAAACAAAUUUUAUUUUUGAGAAAACUAUGGCUUUAUCCUUUAUAUGUUUAUUCACAAUAUUCAUACGGUUAGUUUUUCCCUUCAUUUUCUUUAAUUUAACAAUUGCUAACGUCACUACUUCUUCUAUGCUGCCACUCUGCCAUGAUGAUGAGCGCUCUGCUUUGUUGCAAUUCAAAGAAAGCCGCAUCAGUGGUGAUUUUUAUGCUUGGAAAUUUGACUGUCGUCCUACAAUGGCAUCAUGGAAGCCAGAAGAAGGUAACGUUGAUUGCUGCUCUUGGGACGGCGUUCAUUGCAAUAAGAACACUGGUCAUGUCAUCAAGCUUGACCUCUCCCAUAGCUGUCUUUUUGGUUCUAUCAACUCUAGCAGCAGCCUUUUCAAGCUUGUCCAUCUCGAGUGGCUUAAUCUUGCUUUGAAUGACUUCAAUUCCUCCGAAAUCCCACCAGAAAUCAUCAACCUUUCCAGGUUAUCAUACUUGAACCUCUCUGGAACUUCUUUAUCUGGCCAAAUACCAUCAGAAAUUCUAAAGCUCUCCAACUUGGUGUCCCUUGAUUUAUCACUAAAUGAUGUUCCUGGUGGUAGACUUGAACUCCAGAAGCCCAGUCUCGUAAAUUUAGUGGAGAAGUUAAGCAAUCUAAAAACACUUGACCUUGGUGAUGUUUCUAUUCAGUCAACGAUACCUCAUAACAUCACAAAUCUAUCUUCUUCGAUGUUUGUUUCUCUUCAAAACUGUGAAUUGCAAGGUAAUUCAAUUUUAUAUAUUUUCUCCUUAAUUAAUAUACAUGCAAUGUUAAAUUCAUUAGUAAAAACUAUUAUUAUUUUUAAUUUUCUACUUAAGCAAUGUGUUCUUUUUUCUUUUUUAACAAAUUUCAGGAAGAAUUCCAUCCUCACUCGGUAAUCUAUCCAAGCUCCUUCAUUUAGACCUUUCACUAAAUGAAUUACAGGGUGAGCUGCCUGUUUCCGUUGGUAAUCUUUGUUCAUUGGAAGAACUUGAUCUCUCUGCAAAUUUUUUGUCGAGUGAGUGGCCUAUUUCCAUUGGAAAUCUUAGUUCUUUGAAAGAACUUGACCUUUCACAAAAUAGAUUUUUUGGUGAAUUGCCUAUUUCCAUGGGAAAUCUUGGUUCUUUGAAAGAACUUGACCUUUCACAAAAUGGAUAUUUUGGUGAGAUUCCUACUUCCAUUCGAAAUCUUUUUUCUUUGGAAAAACUUGACCUUUCAUUCAAUAAAUUUUCGGGUGAGUUUCCAUGGUCGACGGGGAAUUUUAGUUCUUUGAAGUUAUUAGAUCUGAGGUCAUGUAGUUUUUGGGGCAAAGUUUCACAUUCGAUUGGUAAUUUCACCCGGCUACAAUUUUUGUAUCUUGGAUUGAAUAGUUUUUCGGGUGACUUACUUGGUUCCAUUGGAAAUCUUAGGUCAUUGGAAGUAAUACAUAUCACUAAGUGUAAUUUUUCAGGUCAAAUUACAUCUUCACUUAGGAAUCUUACCCAACUUAUGGUCCUUGACAUGGCUCGAAAUUCUUAUAGCGGAACGAUAGAGUUAGAUGAUUUACUUACUAGCUGGAAAAAUUUGGAAUUUUUAUGUCUCUCAUUAAAUAGGUUGUCAGUGCUCACCAAAGCCACCUCUAAUACCACUUCACAGAAAAUUCAGCACAUAGGACUGCGUUCAUGCAAUCUUACUAAAUUUCCAAAUUUCUUGGAAAACCAAAGUCAUUUGGUGUUCCUGGACCUUUCUAACAAUAAAAUUCAGGAAAAAGUACCUAAAUGGUUGUUAGACCCGAAUAUGCAGAAUCUCAAUGCCUUGAACCUUUCACAUAACUUGUUAACCGGGUUUCAUCAGCAUCCUGUUCUUCUUCCAGGGAAUAAAAGUGAUGCGGUGACUUUUGAUCUUAGCUCUAAUAAUUUACAAGGACCACUCCCAGUUCCACCCCCCGGAACCGUUAACUAUCUAGCUUCAAACAAUAGGUUAACAGGGGAAAUUCCAUCGUGGAUAUGCAAUUUGAAUAUUCUUGAAAGCCUUGUUUUGUCUCACAAUAACUUAAGUGGCUUGCUUCCUCAGUGUUUAGGCAAUUUCAGCGAUGAACUUUCAGUGCUCGACUUGGAGGCUAACAACUUCUUUGGGACCAUCCCAAAUACUUUCAUUAAAGAAAGUAGAUUAGGCGUGAUUGAUUUAAGCCAUAAUCUGUUUCAAGGAAGAAUUCCAAGAUCAUUGAUCAACUGUUCAAAGUUGGAAUUUCUUGGUCUUGGGAACAACCAGAUUAGUGACACUUUUCCGUCUUGGUUAGGAACUCUUCCAAAAUUGAAUGUUCUCAUCCUACGAUCCAACACAUUUUAUGGCAUUAUAGAAGAACCCAGAACUGGUUGUGGAUUUUCGAAACUCCGCAUUAUUGACCUAUCUGACAACAGAUUUACUGGAAAGCUUCCAUCAAAGAGUUUCCUGUGUUGGAAUGCCAUGAAAAUUGUCAAUACAAGUGAGUCCGCAUUAUUGACCUAUCUGCUUUCUCCNNNNNNNNNNNNNNNNNNNNNNNNNNNNNNNNNNNNNNNNNNNNNNNNNNNNNNNNNNNNNNNNNNNNNNNNNNNNNNNNNNNNNNNNNNNNNNNNNNNNNNNUGUACGGUACAGCAGCUCUCAAACAAUAGAUUUGAUGGGGCGAUUCCAGCAUCGAUUGCGAAUUUAAAGGGACUUCAAGUUCUAAACCUCCAGUACAAUAAUCUCCAAGGCCAUAUUCCGUCAUGUUUGGGCAAUCUAACAAAUUUGGAAUCAUUGGAUCUGUCAAAUAACAAGUUUUCAGGACGGAUUCCUCAACAACUGAUUGAGCUCACAUUUCUCGAAUUCUUCAAUGUCUC